AGCCAUCAGUGUGGGCCCGGGAAACUCGCUCGCUCGAUCGCGGUACUUCCGGCGCUGAGGCUUACGGACGAACUGGAAGGUUGAUGUGGAUUGUGGAGGUUGGAAGCAGAGGUGGGCGCUGGAGGGGAAAGCGGGCCGGGGAUGGUCAGUCAACUGCUACUGGACAAAGAGAGCGCCAAUCAAUGCACGGCUCCACGCUGGUGUGAGUGUAACAGUGGAUGGUUGUUUAGUACGACGACAAAGCGGAGGGAGCUGAAUUCCACAGCGCAUGCUUGAUGCUUCUAGGCCUCUCUUGCCGUGUCCACAUCUUUACUUAUUUUCCGAACAUUGUCCAGCCGUGUCCUCUCUUUUUCUCAACAGCUGUCUGUCUCGCUGUUUCUGACUUUGAGAGGGUGCUUGGAUACAAGGGACUAUUUUUAGUCUGACUAAAAAUAGUCUCUUUUAGAGGCUAAAGUUCCAAGCACCCCUGACUAAAGAGAGGCUAGGACUAGUCUUGAGGCUAAAAUCUUUUAGUCAUGGGAAACCUACUAAAAUAUGUAUUAGCUCUCUCUCUCCUCAUUUAAUUUCUAUCCUUAGUUCUGGAUUGGAGGGUUUGGAGGAUAAUAAAUGCUCAAUAACUAGAUUUUAGUCUCUUUAGUACUUGGAUCCAAGCAUGGGUGAAACUAGUAAGUUUUAGUCCCACUACUUUUAGUCAUGGGACUAAAACGUAUCCAAGCAUGCUCUGAUUCGUACUCUCUCCGUAACCAACGCUCUUAUAUUUUUUUUUUAUGGAGGAGUAUUUGUUAAUAAUGUCUAUCUGUUUUCGUUAUAUAUAGGCGGCCAGCUAUCACCCGUUUGUUCGCUAGCGAUCGCCAGACGAAUCAUCCGUCCCCACAGGCCGCUUCAUUCAUUGGAUAAAACUACUAUAAUUGCGCCUAAAUAAAUCUGGCAUUUGUUCGGGCAAAAUUAACCCCUAAGACAGCCAUGAGACUUUACAUUGCCAAAAACAGUACACGAAACAUGGCCGCCGCGAUGCUUAUCGAGUUGCCUCCAUCUUUCAUCGUUCCUUCCUGUAUAUAUUCUCUGCAGUAGACACAAAGGGAAAAUGCUGUGAAGGAAAAUGAAAUAUACAGUAGUAUAGACCAGUGAUGUUUUUCCUUUCUUUGAUGAAGUAUAUACUAGUGAUUGAAUCAAAGAAAAAAUUGAAAAAAACAUAGUACAAUGGGAAGGUGAUGUUUGGUAGGCAUCCACAUCCCUGUAUGCUAAGAAGAUGUUAAGUUGAUAGCAAUUGUAUAUAUGGCGGCCGGUGACUACGAGUGAGAGCGAGAGCAAACCAGUACAGAAUGACCAAUGGCAAGAUCUGUAAAACAGGGCAUGUGCAUGCCUUAAUUGUUUAUGCUAACAAGCAUCUUCUCCGAAUCUUUACAAAAAAUAUAUGAAGGCACAAUUAUUGUUGUAAUGCCGACGGACAGGCGUUGGAUGACAACUUUAUUAUACACGACUAUGGAAGAUUACUGGACAUCAGGUCUUCAAAAUAUCGUCCCUCUUUGCGGCCUCGAAUCUAUCCGACGGUAGAAGUGAAAGACACGGCGUGUUUCGGUUCGGUCUUCACGGUCAAGCUCAGCACCUCAGGCCGUGCGUAGUGUCCCACGACGUCGAAAUCAAACUUGGCUCGAACAAUUUCUCCAAGGUCUGCAAAACAUAUCACCAAGUUUCUAGUAAGAAUUUAUACGCUUGUGAUGUCUCGGUCACAAUACGGAUUUAUGUAGGUAACAGCUUGCAAUACUGAUAACUGUAGAUUACUGAAAACAUAUGAAUAGGUAAAUCCAUACACCGUGUCGUACUGCGUAUAAGUACCCAAAGUGAUAUGCGUUUAGCAUAGACUUGGGAGUCAUCGGUUUCUUCUUACCCAGGUCAGCUGUGAGGAGGGCCUCGCCUUCAUAGUUGGGACCUGCCAACACUGUCCCAGAUGGCGAGAUGAUGGCGCUCCCUCCAGGACAAACAGCGGUUUCUGGGGAUGGCUCCUCCUCAUGGCCACCAAAGGUAUACUCAGGCGGGGGAGGAAAGUCUUUUCUGCGGCAGAACUGGUUUGCUGUCAGAACAAAGCAUCCCCCUUCAAGCGCAAUGUGUGUCAUGGAAGCCUGCCAACUUGGCAGCGCAUCCGCGGUGGGAGCACAAUAUAUUUGAACACCUGGAUAAGCAUAGGAGUGCACGUCAGGGAAAAUAUAAACUCAACUACAUGUCAUGGUUCGUUGUCAGCAUUUAUCUCUAGUUUUAGAUUUCAUGCUGCCAUUCUUUUGUACGUUAAUGCGUUGAGCCAAUCUAGUAACUCUUAUGUGGGAUCUCAGUUUCUGCCAAUAAAAUUCAAUAAUCUUGAAACGGAGGAAGUGUUGAGGUUGGGAAACAUAUUACGUCGCAAGAACUCGGAAUACCUUUGGCAUACAUCGCUGUCCUGAUAAGUGGCAUUCUGUUCUCCCAGCAGAUGACGGCACCUAUCUUUCCAAGUGGAGUAUCAUAAACAGGUAUCGUAGAUCCAUCUCCAAACCCCCAGAAUACUCGUUCCAGUGCGGUAGGCAUGAGCUUGCGGUGUUUUCCUAGGUACUUUCCCAGAGAAUCAAAGGAGAGCACUGUAUUGUACAGUGUGUAGCCUGCCCUUUCAACAACCCCAAUCACCAAGAAGACCUUGUAUUUUCCGGCCAAUGCAGCUAAGCGGCUAACCUCUGGGCCUGCAUUUGUCGUGCAUGCUCACAUUACUUUUUCACUAUGCUCUGUUGUGAUGAUUUGGAUUCAAAAAUCAAAUGUACGUGAAUAAUGAAUUACACCAUCGACCAGGCACAUAACAAAGAAAGUUAACAAAUACAGGUAACAAGGUCAAAAGCAAAGGUUUUGUCAAUUAUGGAGCUCUACUUUUUUUUGGAAGAAGAGCUCUACUUCUUGAAAUGCUGUAAAGCACGGAAAAGGGAACCAAAUAUCAUGCACACUUCAGCUCAGUAAUACCAGUUGUAACUUAUCAGCUUGUGGUCUGAACAGCAAGUUUGAGGGGUUUUUCCAUGAUUGCUUUUCCAUUUUUCAACAAUGUAGGAAAAAGAAGCGAUACAUAGUCUUACAUUAUUUUGUGGUUUAUACUUCAUUUCUAGCACUAAACUGUUCAAAUAUAUUGUCAAUGUAACUGUAACACAUCAAAAAAUAACUGUGUGCUUCAAAAUUUGUAGCUCAACAUAUGGAUUGAAUCUACAGUUCCAAAGCCGAACAAAAUAGUUUAAUUCUAGGUGUAUUUCUAUUUCUCAAAAGCAAAAUGCACACUAGGAAAUGAUAAGCAUCAAGCAAAAUGAUGAAGCACGGUGACUAUUGUGAAAAACAAUGUACAGUGAGUAUAUAUAUUGACAGUAUCUUGGAAUACCAGGCACAUCUAUGGCAGCCGCAUGAUACUUCCGAAAGUCUUCUUUUCCUUUGGCAGAUCGACUGCCAAUAGUCAGUCCAAAGGUAGACCCAUGAGGGUAGCCACCAACAAAGACUUCUGGAAAAAGAACCAACUGUGAACCAUAUCCAGCAGCCUCCACUAUCAAUUUCUCUGCUUUAUCUGUCGACAAUGCAUUUACAAAAUUAGCAGCAACAAAACAUUGUCCAGUCCUGUAAGGAAUUCAUGUAAAUAAAUGGAGUACAAGAUAUCCUACCAACAUGCAUUUCCUAUUUCAAAUCCUUGAACUCUUUUGGCAUAAUACUGUAUUUAUUUAUUUAUUUUAUUCUUCCCUCGAUUUGGUGGCACAGCGUUUAUUGCAGUUAAGUCAUUAAUGACUUUGUUAAUUAAAAGACUAAGAAAAAUGAUAUGAGGCCUCAACUCUUCAAUAGAUCUUGCUUAAUAGGGAAUAGCAUAGAAAUAAAAGGGAAAAAGAUGCAAGAAAACAAAUAGAUAAUCGAAUUUUAUCGACCCAAAGGGAAUCUCUCAGUAGGAGACUGCAAGUUAGUGUUCGCUUUCUUAAAGAUUGACAUCACAGCUGUAUGGCAAAACAAACAACUUUGGUACUAACUUCUAUCCAAUGCUCCUUCCGCCUAAUCACAAAGUGUAGAGCAAUAAUUGCUUCCACACAUGUAUAAUUGAGAAGAAAAAAACUGGCAUGUCCAUCUGUCCCCUUGGUAUCCAAAGUGGAUAGUUUAUACUUUAUACCACACCAGCACACAAACAACUUGUUUUCCACGCAAGAAAGACUGGGACUUAGUAAAUUGCCACUAAGAAAAUUACACCAACUACUAUUAAAGAGAAGCUAUCAAUUCCGUUUUCAUCUAGUCCACUGACGUUGAGGAAGCAAGGCACUUCCUUUGUAUACAUCCAAGACCACAAUAAGAAGGGAGAAUAAUACUCCCUCCGUUCCUAAAUAUAUAGGUCUUUUUAGAGAUUCCAAUAUGAACUACAUACGGAUUCCAAUAUGAACUGCAUACGGAUCCGUAUGUAGUUCAUAUUGGGAUCUCUAGAAAGACUUAUAAUUUAGGAACGGAGGGAGUAUUACAGAUCGGUGCACCAUCCUUGCGAUUCGAGGCAUCAGUCUGAUCGAUUACAACAAGGCAAGUUCGUGCUGGUGAGACAAGCAAGCAAACACCUAGCGCUCAGCACCCGAUCCAAACAGAUACACGAGCGAGACAAAUGAUCGAACACCAUACGAGCUACUGGCAACAAGAGGAAACAAGAGGGUCGGAGCACGCACCGAGCGUUGCAGGGGUGUCGUAGAACACGCUGCAGGCCUGCACGACAGUGGCCCGCACGGUGGUGGCACCCUGAUCGGCGCCGGCGUUCAUCUCCACCUCCGCAAUCACCGGCCCGACGCUGGCGGGGGACAAAGCCAUCGCCGCCGAACAGGAAGGGCGAGAAAUCGAGCGGACUAGGAGGGGGUGCGGGCUACUUGUCGUGCUUCCUGCGUAGGUAGUCGCGGACGAACUGAUCGCGGGCGAGCGUGCGUGCGCGCUGGGGCUCGAUGUGGACGUGGGAGAGGAGAGCGCCGUAGGCGAGGAGCCCCGCGCCGAAGGCAAAGAGUGCGACGGUGGAUAGCAGCUGCCGGGGAGUGGAUGGGGAGCACCAGCCCAUUCGUGGCGACUGGCGACUUUUAAAGGCAGGGCCGGCCAACGAGGAAGAAAUUGGAGAGGAGGAGGAUGACGAGUUGACUAUUGACGAGUCGUAUCCCUAGAGUUACUAGAAGAACGCCUGUGCGUUGCAACGGGGCCACAUUAACUUUAAGAGUUCAAUAUUACGACAUUGGCGACCUUUUUUACCAUCAAAUCCUCACACACACACACUCUCCCCCCUCCCUCUUCCUCACUCUCUCUCCCUCUCUCUCUGUAACACACACACACACAUAGCCUAUUCUCCCUGCCAAUAAGACUUACUCAAUUGGCAAUAAUGUGUGGAUUUGUUGUGAGCUUGACUGAACUAAUGGAUAGUGUGAUAUAUUUCCCAAUUAUUUAACAAUGAAAUUUCAGAAAUGGAAAGAUUAUGUAACACCACAAGUCGUUAGCUACAGUGACCUCCCCCUAAUGAUGCCAUGUCAUCAGGCUUGCUAAGCCAAACUGCCACUUGAUAAAAAUCAAAGCCCAAUUCAAAUUUAAAAUAAAGUCAAAUAAGUUAUUUCGUUAAACAGUAAAACUAAAAUGUUCAGCAUAUUCUAUAAAUUCUACUGAUCUUUGACAUGUUGAGCCCAACAUUAUUUGACCCAAAAAUUAAAUCUUGUCAAAUUAAUAAGAGGUCCAAUAGUAGUUAAAAUAACCAAUUAAAUAUAAACCAAAUUUUAUGUAUUUCCUUUUGGCCCCAAACUUUUUGUGCCACCUAAAAAUAUUGUGCUCGAAUUGUGUGCAUAGUUUCACAAUUAACAAAAUCCAUUUAGUUGAUAUACGAAUAAAUAAAAAACGGUGUUAAAAAGGAGAAACGGAUUAGAAUAGAUUAAAAAUCAAAAGGACGAUGAAAAAGGGGAUUCCCCCUACCCCGGGGCCUUGCCACCGAACCGGCCCAGUGGUCCAGUCCCCGCACGGUCGUCUUCUCCUGUUCCCCGAGCCCGUCGCUACAGAGCCGGGCUCCUGCCCGACCACCUCGCCGGCAUCGAAGGGGAAUGGAUAAGGGUGACGCCCUGCCUCCCCUGCCCCCAUGGCCUCACUCCUCCUCGACGCCCCUCCCAGAUCCACUUCUCCUCCUCGCUCGCUCGAUCCCAGUGAUCUGGACGAAGUCAGAUGCCACGGCCACCAUGACCGACCCCGUCCACACGGCCACUGCCCUCCCUGCUGGCUAGGAGCUUGUCGAGGAGCUCCGAAUGCCUCCGCUACUUCGUCUGCGCCAACGCGAUCAAGUCCAGCACCCCCAGAUCGACGUCGUUGUCGUCAUCCUCAACCUUCGGCCACCGCGACAUUGCCGUUCGAUCCACGCCGCCCCGAGCUCCCCUGUCUUCCCCUAGGAUGCCAUUGACACCGCCGUGAUCUCCUCUUGCCUUUUCCCAGUUUCCCCUCUCGUUUGCUCUCGUUGGGUAUUUCACCUUGGCCGAGAACAGUCGUCUGCCACGGCCAUUGCAGGGGUACCCACUGAGCUCCUCGGAUUGACCCCGUGGCACAUGCCCGCUCCUAUGCGCGCCCAUGCCCGAGCCUUCAGCUCUUCGUUCGCGCCCGCGGGGCCACUCCCUCUCUGGCUCUCCAUGCCCACGCACGUGCCACACCACGCCCGUCGCGCCCGCCAUUGCCAUCACGCUCGCCACAGCCACCGCACCAUUGUGCCCCGCGCGACGCACACCCUGGCCGCGCAUCACACUCUCGCUGGCUGCGCUCGCCCCGUCUGCUGCCGCCUAUCCCUUCGCUCGCCCCGCUGUCGCGCCCCUGCCUCGCGCCGCCUCCUGUCGCGGCCAUCUUUUGCCGGCCGCCCCCUCAGCCACGCCGGCCGCAUCUCUGCCCUCCACCGUCGGCCGCUCGCCUCGCCUGCUGCGUGCUUCUUCCUGCUGCUAUGCGCUGCUCUACCACUGGUACGCCGUUGCGCCAUGCCCUCGACACCGCCGUGGACAAACGUGGUGGAGGGAUUGUCAAUGGAGUACGAGAAGGAGGUGGUGGAGAAGGUGUGGAGAGGCAAGAGGUCUAGGGUGGCGUCAGCUAGCUGUGGUGGAGGUGAUUAUGCGAGAAGGAGCCGGUGCGGAAGGAGAGGUCACAAUUGGAAAGAAUCGCAAAAAAAUCAUAAUCCGGAGAUCUCAUUCCUAAAAAAUGCUAAUAUCGAUGGAGGGGUGAUUUUUUUCAAUAGGUGGAAAACAUAGGAAAUAUUGGAUGUUAUGAAGGAAAGGUAAAAAUUUAAGAAAGUUAGGAUUUUGAACUGAUUUCUAUGCUAAUGGGAUUUUAUUGUUUGGUAACAUGAUAUUAGUACCUGCCCGUUUGUGACAUGUCUGAUUAGGAAAGUUUGCAAAUGUUAGAAACUAUUUAUUGGGAGGAAAGUUUGUGACGUGUCUGUUAUUUGUUUCCUAAAACAAAUUUUACUAAUGAGAGAAAUCGAUUGAUUUACAUAAGUUAGGAAAGUUAGAUUCAAAUCUAUUAUUUGUUUCUUAAAAAUUUGUUAUUUGUUUCCUAAGACAAAUUGAACCAAUAAAAGGAACCGAUUGAUAUGAAUAAUUUAAGGAAGUUAGAUCCGUGAUUUGUUAUACGUUAGGAAAGUCCUGGUUGUAAUAAAGAGUGGAGAAAAAAAACCGAUGGACCAGAAUGGAAGGGGGUGAUGGGAGGAGAGACGAAAAAACCAGCGAAAAUAAACCGUGAAGACUAUUCACUAACUGCUCCAUUAGAAGUAGAGAUUGAGGAUGACCUCACUGCCAUAGACAUGAUCCCUGCAAACUUUUUUCUUAGCUUCGUCCCUGAGUCUUGUGUUACUUACGGCCACCCUAGUUGGAACCACCGGGGUUUUGAAUCAGCAUGAUCUCUUCUACUACUGGGAAUAUAUGAAUGGUCCUAUACAUAUAUAUGCAUGGUACGGCUCGUCGGCUCCCAGUCCCAGCUAAUCAAUGGUUCGGUGAUCAGUACCAGUACGGGAGCCAAACAUGCUAUCGAUCGAUUAGUACGUUCCAUCCACACGUAGAUGGCAAACUUCGGCCCGAAGCAAGCGAGCUCGACCAGACUUGACCAAAAGGGUCUCUCCGCCUAAUGCACAAAGGGUACACAGAUACUACUACAAACAAGAAGAACGCCCGUGCGUUGCAACGGGGCCACAUUAACUUUAAGAGUUCAAUAUUAAUAUUCUCAUACAUAUCAAUCCUUCUUCUCCUUCCGUCUGCCACCAAGACAGGGACCUAGACUUUGUGCUGCUCUUAUUGAUUUCAAACCCAGACGAGAUGGGGUGGUGGGAGGGGGGACGAAAAAACCCAGACGAAACAAAGGAGAAGGAGAGCCUCAUCAGUAGCAUCUUGGUGAAUUUCAAACCUAGCGUUGUGCUCCGCCCAACGAACAUGGACGCCGCCGCCGGCGGCCCGGUGGAGCUCGAACCCGAGAGACUCUGCUGCUUGCUGGGAGGGGUCGGGGAGGGUCGGAGCACAUGAGCAUUGACGUGAAGACAGAGUAGGCCGGGGAGAUUACUGUGCACGCCGCACAGCGACUUGGACCUCGGAGGGCCUUAGCUCUGUCAGGAGGAGGUCCCGAGUUCCUGCCGAGGACAGCCUGACGGGGGAGACGCACGGCCGCUUGCGCUGCCCGCAACGCGACCACGCCCUGCCCUAGGGUUCUGCGACGGCGGCAACGUCGUCCACAGCCACACCCUCUCCGAGUCCUGCCCUGAACUGGGGUUCCGAGAUGGCGGCGGUGGCGGAGGUCUCUGAGGUUGGAGAGGGGCAAGAUGUAGGACGGCGGAGACUGGAGCCUGGAGCGAUGGCGGCGUUUCGGGAUUGCAGGCAGGGGGACGUGCGAGGUGAGUGUUUUUUUCACCGGUUUAUGUUGUGUUGCCUGCACGGAUAUAUAGGAGAACAAAUAGGUGGAUUAUAAUUCCUUCCAUUGUAUAAGUGCUGGGAAAGGAAGCGAGGGACAAAAAUCAAUCGAGGGGCCUUUAAGAGUAGAGAUUAGUUAAUUGGAUUUUUCUUUAAAGUCUGUUAUUUGUUUUCUUAAAAUUUAUUAUAUGUUUCCUAAAUCAAAUUGCAUUGAUGGGAUGGAUCGAUUGAUUUGGAUAGUCUAUUAUUUGUUUCCUUCACAUCCAUUAUAUGUUUCCUAAAGCAAAUUGCAUUGAUGAGAUGGAUCGUUUGAUUUGGAUGGAUCGAUUGAUUUGUUUCCUUAAAAUUGGAUUUUUUUUAAAGUCUGUUAUUUGUUUCCUUAAAAUUUAUUAUAUGUUUCCUAAAUCAAAUUGCAUUGAUGGGAUGGAUCGAUUGAUUUAGAUAGUCUAUUAUUUGUUUCCUUCACAUCCAUUAUAUGUUUCCUAAAGCAAAUUGCAUUGAUGAGAUGGAUCGUUUGAUUUGGAUGGAUCGAUUGAUUUGUUUCCUAAAAAUUGGAUUUUUCUUUAAAGUCUGUUAUUUGUUUCACCGGUUUAUGUUGUGUUGCCUGCACGGAUAUAUAGGAGAACAAAUAGGUGGAUUAUAAUUCCUUCCAUUGUAUAAGUGCUGGGAAAGGAAGCGAGGGACAAAAAUCAAUCGAGGGGCCUUUAAGAGUAGAGAUUAGUUAAUUGGAUUUUUCUUUAAAGUCUGUUAUUUGUUUUCUUAAAAUUUAUUAUAUGUUUCCUAAAUCAAAUUGCAUUGAUGGGAUGGAUCGAUUGAUUUGGAUAGUCUAUUAUUUGUUUCCUACACAUCCAUUAUAUGUUUCCUAAAGCAAAUUGCAUUGAUGAGAUGGAUCGUUUGAUUUGGAUGGAUCGAUUGAUUUGUUUCCUUAAAAUUGGAUUUUUUUUAAAGUCUGUUAUUUGUUUCCUUAAAAUUUAUUAUAUGUUUCCUAAAUCAAAUUGCAUUGAUGGGAUGGAUCGAUUGAUUUAGAUAGUCUAUUAUUUGUUUCCUUCACAUCCAUUAUAUGUUUCCUAAAGCAAAUUGCAUUGAUGAGAUGGAUCGUUUGAUUUGGAUGGAUCGAUUGAUUUGUUUCCUUAAAAUUGGAUUUUUCUUUAAAGUCUGUUAUUUGUUUCCUUAAAAUUUAUUAUAUGUUUCCUAAAUCAAAUUGCAUUGAUGGGAGGGUGACGCAUGGAAAGUUAUGAUUCGUUAAGAUUUUUUUCGUUGUGUGAGAGGGUGACGCGAAACUAAACCGGUGGGGUAGGGGAGGGACGAAAAAAACCAGGGAAAUGAAACGGGUGGGAGGUGGGAGGAAGUACCAAAGAAGUACCAAAAAAACCGGGUGAGGUGGGACGAAAAAAAAUCUGGAAGCGAGACUACCAACUGCUCCAUUAGGAGUAGAGACUAAGCUCCCACCAAAUCCAGCCUCCUGGUGAAUCGCAGCUAGCGAGGGAUUUAUCAGCGGACGACUCUGUCGCUGUCCCGUGGCCCCCAAUCGUCUGUAGUCGGUUUACUUCUGUCAUACCUAUCCCAUGAAUACCGACCCAAACCACGCACGGCUGGACGUAGUCUUCUUCUUUUUCUCUAGAAAUAUUUUCUUCAUGUCCCUCCCUCGCCCAGCCCCGGCAGCCACCGACCAUCUCCUCCAUCACCGCACCUCUUUGCCGCCACCCCAAUCUAGAUCCGAGCCGAGCAACCUUCGGAUCUGUCUUUUACCAACGAACCCUGCGUUCUGGUGUGUCGAGACUGGUGAGUGCCGCUCGAUCCCCACCUGUAAGUUUUGGUUCACUUGCAGGGGUCGUGGCUCGCGGUGGUUGACGUCUUCGUGUUUCUCGUCGUGGUGGGCUUGCCCAACUGCUUACAACAUCUUCCAUGCCUCAUCUCCCAUGACCCCUCGCUCACGGAGGAGAGAUUGCGGCUGAAGGGAGGCAUAGCUUGAACGGGGUUCGUGGAUGAGGAAGGGGACUCGACAGCGCAGAGCUGGUGACGAAGGAGCAAGUCCGUAACGGUGUAGCUCGCGGCGGAGGAGGCUGGGGAUCCCGGACGAGGGAGGGACGGGUCCCGGUGGUUGCGGUGGCCGGAGGGCGGUCACAUCGUGGCCCUUCCAGGUAUCCUCUAAUUUCAUGGACAAUUCUUCUUGACGCGAGGGGAAACCUUCAUCUACAGUUAAAUAUUUUCUUCUUUAUAGACUUCAUGUUUUCCUUGGAUUUUGUCUAAAUGUCUUGGGAGUACAUAUAAUGGUGUGGGUAAAUAGUUGGUUUUUGGACUUCAUGUUGUAUUGCAUGAUCCCAUGGAAUGAGAUUCAUUUUGGUGAUCAUUUGUAUUCAAAGAAUGUUACUGAUACAAUUUUGUGACCGUUUUGGACUGUAAGAAACCACUGGAUGUUAAGGGGAAGUACCAAUCAGGCUUGUGCCUCUUCUGUACAUGUAUGCUCUGGAUGCCUUUUUUGUACGUGUAUGCUCGGGUUAUUUACUAAUUGUAUAUGUGCUAGACCUUCCUGAUGGUCCAUUGCCAGACAUAGAAAGGCUACAAAUUUGAUUUUUUGUCAAGUCUUGUGAUCUUAGCUUCUUGGAAAGACUGAGUUUCCACUUAUCUAAUGUGCUAAAUGAUCUCCAGCUAACUUCUGUAUAUUGAUUGAUACACCUCUCAGUUAAUAAGUAAAUAUCCUGUUGGCCACAAGACCGAGCUUCCAAUUUUUGUAUAUCCUUAACUGAAUGCAUCCUUAUGUUAUAUCAUGUUCGUUCUAAAAUGCAACAGUAUUGGUAGGGUGCUCAAUCAAAUUCCUCUGCUGGCUUGGUUAGUUCUUGAUACUAACAUGGAUAGACUUUUAAGUGCAUAGGUACUCACUUAAUUUCUACUGAGCUAUAAUGGCCAAAAACAGUAGCGCACAGAUCCUUAAUCCAAGCAAUAAAAUUUAAGCCGAGGGGAACAAGUAGUAUAUAUGAUCUAUUUACUCGCAUGUAUGUGUUGAGAUUGUGGUUGAGAUGGCAAUUCUGCCGUGCAGCAAUAACAUCCCAUUCAUCCUCAUCGACUUGCACAGUUACGACGUUGACUCGAUCGGACUCGGCGUCGGUGUACCCCCGACAUCUAUAGUGUGUUUGAUAAUGUGAUGCUAACGUCGAUUUUGUUUCUUCGUACGCAGGCGGCGGAAGGGGCUUUGAGAUCUCCAAGUUGGAGAAGGGGAAGUGUCCUCUGAUGCUGCAACCAAGGGAAAUGACACCAGGUGAUUUGUUCUUCUCUGUCAUAGAUUUUGUAUUUUUUUCGAGGAGUUGAUCACUUGUGUGUGUGAAGAAUUGAGUACACGCGGAUUGGUAGGAUUGAAAGAGAUUGCACUGAGCUAAUAAUGCAUUUUUUGUUUAAUAGCUAGAGUAUAAUUCCAUUCAGCUGGCAAUUAUCCAUGUAGUCAUGUAAGCUAUUGCCUAUAUGACUUAAGGUGUGGUGCAUUUAUUAAUCAUUAUUAUGAUAACUAAGAUUAACAUAAGUUAUUCAGACAUAUUUAUGAAUCUCAACUAAGAUAAGCUUAUUUGCAAUAUAUGCAAAUACUCCCUCUGUAAACAAAUAAAAGACGUUUUAGGUAUGAUAUUUGCAGAGGGAGUAGUAUAUAUCAAGAGAACAUCUGUUGGUAUGAUAUUUGCAUCACUUAAGUUAUUAUGGUUCUUUCAUGUCACAUCCUGAUUUUCAUGCCACAACACUUAAGCUAAUAAAUCAUGACAAAUUGUGGUUUGACAAAAACUUUUGAGUGUUUAGGUCUUUGCUUGAUUUGAUUUUGUGUGUUGGUUGCAAGUGCUCUAAAGAUCAAAUAAAUCCUCCAACUCUUAUACUCCUUCUCCUUCAUCCAAAACCUUGCCCAAUGAUCAUGUCAUGUGUGUUGGACAUAAAAAUAAUUUCUUGCAGAAAUAUUUUGGCCAAAAAGUAUUUUCUAAAUUAGGUUUUCCAAAACCCCCUGAAUUGAGACUUGAACUACAAGUACUUAAUUAAGGGUGUGAAAAAUCUUUAAAAAAUUAUAUUUGACUCCUAUUAGAUAUAGGACACCCAGAAACCACAAAAAUAUAAUUUUAGAAGUUAUUUUCCUAUUUUAUUUAAAGGCUUUUUCUUUAGGCCAGAAAUGGUCUUUAAUAGGUUAAACUUAUUUUUAAGCUUCAAAAAUAUUUUAGAAAAAUCAGGGAAACUCAGUGGAUAUAUAUUUUCCAUACAUAAGAGUUUCAGCACAUGGUCAUGUUCAAAAUAUUGGUCAAAUCCCUCAAAAACCCUUUCUGGAUAUUUCAAGCUUUUGAAACAUUUACAAAGGAAAUAUUCUCAAAAAAUUCCAAGACAAUUCUAGCAUGUCACAUAUGACAUGUUUGAUUAUCUUGCCAAGUAUCAUGUCAUGAAGAAUAUUAUAACCCCAUGAAAUCCCCUCAAAACCAUUUCUGUCCAUUUUGAAGUUUGAGCAACUUUAUAUUACCAAACAUGUCCAAAUAUUGUCAAACCUUGUGAACAUGCGAAAAUGGUCUAUUUAUUCAUCUAGACCAAAUGUCACAAGUUGGAGAGAAUGAUAUCUUGAUCAAAGUGCCCCAAAACCCUCUCUGUCCAGAACCAAAUUUGAACAACUUUACAUUGGCAACUUUCUCCUUUUGAUCUCAACUUUUGUGGACAUGUUCAGAACCUCAAAUGAUGACACUAAACUAAGUGGUGCAUCAAGGAGAAUAGCUUUGCAUGACUAAAUCUUGAAAAGUCCAUUUCUGUUGAUUUCUAGGGUUUACAAAAGUUGCAUUGGCAACUUUGCCCAAAUAGAUUAAAUCUUGGUGGAACCACUUGUUUUCUUAUGCCAUUUGGCCCUGUCAAGCCUUAUGGCAAGAGGAGUUCAUCUGCUUGCCCAAAUAAACAACAAACACCUUCUGCGAUUUUUCUAAAAACACUAAUUUGACCACUUCCACUAAUCUCCAUGAGUUCCCCUUUUUACCACCACCCCUCCUAGUUCCCCUCUACCUCUGGUGUGCUCCCCGGCCCGAGAGGCAAUGAUGAAGGGGGGCAGGGAUCCACUUUUCUUCUCUGGACAGCACCAUUUCCACUCUCUCUCAACUCCCUCUCCCCUCCAGUGGAUCCCCAGGGCAUCCAAUGCCAUUGCCACAUUUUUUACUCCCCACUUCCGCUGCCAGACGCAAGUGGACACGGCAGAGCAUGCAAAACACGAUCAUGCCGGCCAAAAGCUUGCUCUGGGGCGCGCUACAGUGGCGUCCGAGCCUUGCCACCACGCUCUCAUCCACCUCGGGCCGCCCAAGCGCGCUAGUCGACGCGCCUCGGCGUUCGCAUCACGCCAGCGGGCCUCCAACUUGCCCCCGCGCCCUCCUCUCGCCUCUGCGACGCGUGCCCGAGCGCCGCCCGCGUCCGCCAGUGGCUGCUCGCGUCCCUGGCCCGCCUCGCGCUCGCUCCUCUCUCCCUCUCUCCUUCCCUUGACCUGGACCACGCCCACGAGCACCUCAGACACGCCCCAAAGCGCCCGUUUGGCCCCUGGCAACGCCCCGGGCCGUGGCCGUGCACCCCGCCUACGGCACCUCCCCGUCGCGCCUGUAUAGGGCCACCCUCGAGCCUUCUCUUGUCUCCAACUGCUCUCUCUCCCUCUUGCGCAUCCUUUGACCGACCCACUGCUCUUCCCGUGCUCUCCUUGCACCUCCAUGGCCGGAGCAGUGCCGCCGGCCGCCGCUUAAAUUCUUGGGCCUUGACCCCUCUCUCUUCCCCAUGAACACUCCCGCACCCUCUCAUCACCACCGCCAACUCACCUGGUGCUCCAUCUCCUCCUCCUCGUGCCUUCCUCGCCGUGUCGAACCCCGCCAUCACCUGUUCCUGCCGCGGCCAAGAACUCGCUCGCUCUGGCGCUCCCCGGUGGAAACUAGGUCCCCAGGUGGACGCGGCCCAUCCUCCCGAGCUCGCCGGAGUCCGGGCAGUCGCCGGAGGUGGCCGGAGCCACCGGAACGACGCCGACAAGCACUCGGCCCUGCCUCCUCUGCCUCCACCGUCGCACGCGGGAGGAGGGAGACGACCCUGCGGGUGGACCCCGCAGGUCAGUGACCCCGUCAGCGGGCCCCUCCAUUUAAGUGGAGACACACUUGGAAAAUACGCCUCCGGCAUGGACCCUGCGCGCGUGCGACUGAACCGAUGGGCCGGCCCAGUUGCGCCUCGGCGCUAAACCCCGCCCAGUGCGCGCUGCCGCCGAUAGAUUUGGCCCAUUUAGGUAAAUCCCUUUUCUUUUCUUUUUCUGUGGACUGGUAAAAUCCAUAGAAUAUUCAAAAUAACUCAAAACUUGAUGAUUCAAAUUUCUAGUAGUUCAUAAAAUCAUGCCCUAUAACAUGGUGCUAUUUGCCACCUUUUCCAGAAACAUUUCCUUCACAAAUAUUUAUCAAAUCCCCUUUUUAUAAUUUUUGUGAUGAAGUUUAGAAAAUCAUAAGAGCUUGUAUUUGGUCCAAAUGCCAUGAUUCCAAUUUAUUGAUACAUCUAAGUUCAUAAUUUAGGUUAUGAACAUUUAUCUUAAUACUUUCUGUGCCCCACAAAAUAAUGAACCAUUUCUUCAUGAUUGUCAACUUUGCAAAUCCAUAGGAUAUUCAUUUGGACUCCAAAUCCAGUGAAACCAAAUCCUAGAUGCUUCUAAAAUCAUCCUUUGUUAAAUGGGUAUCUUUGCUCAUUUUUCAAAAAUACAUUUCUGUACACUUCUUGCAAAUCUAUAAACCCCUUGAUUCCAUCAUAUCAAAAUGUAUAGAGAUAUCCACUGACCCAAUUCCAAUGAAACCAGUUUGGUUAUUUUUCAUAUAACUAGAGAUGCCCUAGAAAAGUCAAAUCAAUAUUUUUAGAGCAUUUUUAUUUUUUGCCUUGUUGUGUUGCUUACUAUGAUUGUUUCCAACGUUAGUUGACGAAGUAGACGAAAUACUCGGAGACGGACCAGAAGACUUUGAAGACCCAGAAGACCUUGCUAAACCAGGCAAGUAGCCCUUUGACCAUGAUGAACCAUUUUACAUCAUAAUAGCAUUUUUGUUGCUUCACUGAGUGCAUGAUAUACUUUGAAUGGUAACCUUGCUAGGCUUGCCUCUGUUGCAUACUCCAUUGAUACUUGCAUUGAUCAUGACUCUACCCUUGCUUAGAGUUGUGUUGGUGGGUUGUAGAAAUACGCUAUAGUAGAUGGCUACGCAAUGUGGGUCAGGGUUAUGCAUGGAAAGAAACAAGUGUGGUUUGGCAUACUUGCAAACAGCCCCAGUGGGUGCCACUGAUGCCCCUGGGAGAUGAUGAUGAACUAGGUCACUACUUGGUGGAGAAGUAGUGUACCGAGGUUUGAUUAAAGUGUUGUUUACAGAGAUGGAUUAGAUUUAAGAUUUGUCGACUGUCCCAACCUUACAUGCGCAACCACUCUACCCUUAUAUGGGAAAGGGCAUUAUUGAUUACCUAGGCCGAUACUAGCUUGGAGCCUGCAUUACUAGUAACGGGAGAGUCAUUGUUGCGCUCUCUUGGGACGGGGUCGUGCCAGGUAGGGCGGCCAUGACUGUUUUCACAGGGCACCGGAUACAACGUUGGUACCCCGUGCUUGUGGUAUGUGAUGAAUAUGGGAGCGAGGCUCCACAAUUUUAAGAUGUGAAAUGUUGGGCACGGGGGUUACUACCAAUCAAGUGGACUCUAUGUUAGUGUGUUCUAGGGAAAGAUAGUGAUUGGGUGCUUUCCCCGGGUACUUGAGGUAUCGCGGGUCGUGGAUGACACGAAAGUUCCCCGGAUCUUGUGGGUAAAGUAUGAAACCUCUGCAGAGUGUAAAACUAUUCGAAUAGCCGUGUCCAUGGUCAAGGACAGUUGGGUGGUGCUGCUUAGACUAUGUCCAUAUGUUUCUAGAAAACAACACGGUUUGGUAAAUCUGUUGACGUGAUUCAUGAGGAAGUCACGUUGAGCUUGAGCAUGAGUUGUGUUGGGGAACGUAGCAGAAAUUCAAAAUUUUCUAUGCAUCACCAAGAUCAAUCUAUGGAGUAACUAGCAUCGAGAGAGAGAGGAGAGUGCAUCUUCAUACCCUUGAAGAUCGCGAUGCAGAAGCGUUGCAAGAACGCGGUCGGUGGAGUCGUUCACUAAGCGAUUCAGAUCGUGGCCGAAUCCGAUCUAAGCACCGAACAACGGUGCCUCCGCGUUCAACACACGUACAGCCUGGGGACGUCUCCUCCUUCUUGAUCCAGCAAGGGGAGAGGAGAAGUUGAGGGAGAGCUUCGGCAGCACGACGGCGUGGUGGUGGAGCUUGCAGUUCUGCGGCAGAGCUUCCCCAAGCACUACGGAGGAGGAGGAGGUGUUGGGGAGAGAGAGGGCCGCGCCAGGGGAAGGGUCAAGCUCCCAUGCACCUCCCCACUAUAUAUAGGGGUGGAGGGGGCUGGUUUCUUGCCCUCCAAGUGCAUUGGGGCAUUGGCAAAGGUGGGAGGAAAGAAAUCCCAUCAUUUCCUUCCCCACCGAUUGUUAUCCCCCCUUUUUAGGGAUCUUGAUCUUAUCCCUUCGGGAUAUGAUCUUAUUCCUUCUAAGGGGGGAUCUUGGUGCGCCUUGACCAGGGGUGUGGGGCCUUGCCCCCACUACCCACGUUCAUGUGGGUCCCCCCAUGUAGGUGGGCCCCACUCCGGAACCUUCUAGAACCUUCCCGGUACAAUACCGAAAAAUCCCGAACAUUUUUCGGUGGCCAAAAUAGGACUUCCCAUAUAUAAAUAUUUACCUCCGGACCAUUCCGGAACUCCUCGUGACGUCCGGGAUCUCAUCCGGGACUCCGAACAACAUUCGACAAUUGCACACUAAUUCCCAUAAUAACUCUAGCGUCACCGAACCUUAAGUGUGUAGACCCUACGUGUUCUGGAAUCAUGCAGACAUGACCGAGACAGCUCUCUGGCCAACAACCAACAGCGGGAUCUGGAUACCCAUGUUGGCUCCCACAUGUUCCAUGAUGAUCUCAUCGGAUGAACCACGAUGUCAAGGAUUCAAGCAAUCCCGUAUACAAUUCCCUUUGUCAAUCGGUACGUUACUUGCCCGAGAUUCGAUCGUCGGUAUCCCAAUACCUCGUUCAAUCUCGUUACCAGCAAGUCACUUUACUCGUUCCGUAAUGCAUGAUCCCGUGACCAACUACUUAGUCACAUUGAGCUCAUUAUGAUGAUGCAUUACCGAGUGGGCCCAGAGAUACCUCUCCGUCACACGGAGUGACAAAUCCCAGUCUCGAUUCGUGCCAACCCAACAGACACUUCCGGAGAUACCCGUAGUGCAUCUUUAUAGCCACCCAGUUACGUUGUGACGUUUGGCACACCCAAAGCAUUCCUAUGGUAUCCGGGAGUUGCACAAUCUCAUGGUCUAAGGAAAUGAUACUUGACAUUAGAAAAGCUUUUAGCAAAUGAACUACACGAUCUUGUGCUAUGCUUAGGACUGUGUCUUGUCCAUCACAUCAUUCUCCUAAUGAUGUGAUCCCGUUAUCAAUGACAUCCAAUGUCCAUGGUCAGGAAACCAUAACCAUCGAUUGAUCAACGAGCUAGUCAACUAGAGGCUCACUAGGGACAUGUUGUGGUCUAUGUAUUCACACAUGUAUUACUGUUUCCAGUUAAUACAAUUAUAGCAUGAACAAUAGACAAUUAUCAUGAACAAGGAAAUAUAAUAAUAACCAUUUUAUUAUUGCCUCUAGGGCAUAUUUCCAACAGUGUCCCACUUGCACUAGAGUCAAUAAUCUAGUUCACAUCACUAUGUGAUUGUAAUGAAUCCAACACCCAUUGGGUUUGAUCAUAUCUCGCUUGUGAGAGAGGUUAUUAGUCAACGGGUCUGAAUCUUUUAGAUUCGUGUGUGCUUUACAAAUAUCUAUGUCAUCUCCUAGAUGCAGCUACCACACGAUAUUUGGAACUAUUCCAAAUAACUGCUCUACUAUACGAAUCCGGUCUACUACUCAGAGUCAUCCAGAUUAGUGUCAAAGUUUGCAUCGGCGUAACCCUUUACGACGAACUCUUUUACCACCUCCAUAAUCGAGAAAAUUCCUUAGUCCACUAGUUAGUAAGGAUAACCUUGACCGCUGUCCUAUGAUCAAUUCCUAGAUCACACUUGUACCCCUUGACUGACUCAUGGCAAGGCACACUUUAGGUGCGGUACACAACAUAACAUACUGUGGAGCCUACGUCUAAAGCAUAGGGGACGACCUUCAUCCUUUCUCUCUCUUAUGCUGUGGUCAGGUCUUGAGUCUUACUCAAUACUCACACCUUAUAACACAGCCAAGAAUUCCUUCUUUGCCGAUCUAUUUUGAACUCCUUCAAAAUCUUGUCACAGUGCAUACUCAUUUGAAAGUACUAUCAAGCGAUUUUGAUCUAUCCUUAUAGAUCUUGAUGCUCAAUGUUCAAGUAGCUUAAUCCAGGUUUUCCAUUGAAAAACACUUUUCAAAUAACCCUAUAUGCUUUCCAGAAAUUCUACAUCAUUUCCGAUCAACAUAUGUUAACAACGUAUACUCAUCAGAAAUGCUAUAGUGCUCCCACUCACUUCUUUGGAAAUACAAGUUUCUCAUAAACUUUGUAUAAACCCAAAAUCUUUGAUCAUCUCAACAAAGCGUAUAUUCCAACUCCGAGAUGCUUACUCCAGUCCUUAGAAGGAUUGCUGGAGCUUUGCAUACUUGUUAGCAUCUUUUAGGAUUGACAAAACCUUCUGGUUGUAUCACAUACAACCUUUCCUCAAGAAAAUCAUUGAGGAAACAAUGUUUUGACAUCCUAUCUGCAAGAUUUCAUAAAUAAUGCAAGAACUGCUAAUAUAAUUUCAACAGACUCUUAGCAUCGCUACGAGUGAGAAAGUCUCAUCGUAGUCAACUCCUUGAACUUGUCGGUAAACAUCUUAGCGACAAGUCGAGCUUUCUUAAUGGUGACACUUACCAUCAUUGUCCGUCUUCCCUUCUAAAAUCCAUCUGUACCCAACAGCCUUACGACCAUCAAGUAGUUCUUCCAAAGUCUACACUUUGUUUUAUACAUGGAUCCUCUCUCGGAUUUUAUGGCCUCGAGCCAUUUGUCGGAAUCCGAGCCCACCAUCGCUUCUCCACAGCUUGUAGGUUCAUUGUUAUCUAGCAACAUGACCUCCAAGACAGGAUUACCAUAUCACUCCGAAGCAGUACGCGUCCUUGUCGACCUACGAGGUUUGGUAGUGACUUGAUCCGAAGUUUCAUGAUCACUAUCAUCAGCUUCCACUUCAACUGGUGUAGGCGCCACAGGAACAACUUCCUGUGCCAUGCUAUAGAUUGGUUGAAGUGAUGGUUCAAUAACCUCAUCAAGUCUCCACCAUCCUCCCACUCAAUUCUUUCAAGAGAAACUUUUCCUCAAGAAAGGACCCGUUCUAGAAACAAUCACUUUUGCUUCCAGAUCUGAAAUAGGAGGUAUACCCGACUGUUUUGGGUGUCCUAUGAAGAUGCAUUUAUCCGCUUUGGGUUUGAGCUUAUCAGGCUAAAACUUUUCCACAUAAGCUUCACAGCCCAAACUUUUAAGAAAUGACAGCUUAGGUUUCUCUAAACCAUAGUUCAUAUGUUGUCAUCUCAACGGAAUUACGUGGUGCCCUAUUUGAAGUGAAUGCGGUUGUCUCUAAUGCCUAACCCAUAAACGGUAGUGGUAAUUCGGUAAGAGACAUCAUGGUAUGCACCAUAUCCAAUAGGGUGCAGCUAUGAUGUUCGGACACACCAUCACACUAUGGUGUUCCAGGCGGUAUUAGUUGUGAAACAAUUUCCACAAUGUCUUAAUUGUAUACCAAACUCAUAACUCAGAUACUCAUCUCUAUGAUCAUAUCAUAGACAUUUUAUCCUCUUGUCACGACGAUCUUCAACUUCACUCUGAAAUUACUUGAACCUUUCAAUAAUUCAGACUUGUGUUUCAUCAAGUAAAUAUACUCAACAUCUAAAUCAUCUGUGAAGUAAGAACAUAACAAUAUCCACUGCGUGCCUCAGCACUCAUUGGACUGCGCACAUCAAAAUGUAUUACUUCCAACAAGUUGCUUUCUUGUUCCAUCUUACUGAAAAUGAGGCUCUUCAAUCAUCUGGCCCAUGUGGUAUGAUUUGCAUGUCUCAAGUGAUUCAAAAUCAAGUGAGUCCAAAUGAUCCAUCUGCAUGGAGUUUCUUCAUGCGUAUACACCAAUAGACAUGGUUCGCAUGUCUCAAUCUUUUCAAAAAUGAGUGAGUCCAAAGAUCCAUCAACAUGGAGCUUCUUCAUGCAUUUUAUACCAAUAUGACUCAAAUGGCAGUGCCACAAGUAUGUGGUACUAUUAUCACUAUCUUAUAUCUUUUGGCAUGAACAUGUGUAUCACUACGAUCGAGAUUCAAUAAACCAUUCAUUUUAGGUGCAAGACCAUUGAAGGUAUUAUUCAAAUAAACAGAGUAACUAUUAUUCUCCUUAAAUGAAUGACCGUAUUGCGAUAGACAUAAUCCAAUCAUGUCUAUGCUCAACACAAACACCAAAUAACAAUUAUUUAGGUUUAACACCAAUCUCGAUGGUAGAGGGAGUGUGCGAUGCUUGAUCACAUCAAGCUUGGAAACACUUCCAACACAUAUCGUCGUCUCACCUUUAGCUAGUCUCCGUUUAUUCCGCAGCUUUUAUUUCGAGUUACCAACACUUAGCAACCAAACCGGUAUCUAAUACCCUGGUGCUACUAGGAGUACUAGUAAAGUACACAUUAAUAUAAUGUAUAUCCAAUAUACUUCUAUCAACCUUGCCAACCUUCUCAUCUACCAAGUAUCUAGGGUAGUCCUGCUUCAGUGACCGUUCCCCUCAUUACAGAAGCACUUAGUCUCAGGUUUGGUUUCAACCUUGGGUUUCUUCACUAGAGCAGCAACUGAUUUGCCAUUUCAUGAAGUAUCCCUUCUUGCCCUUGCCCUUCUUGAAACUAGUGGUUUCACUAACCAUCAACAAUUGAUGCUCCUUCUUGAUUUCUACUUUCGCGGCGUCAAACAUCGCGAAUAUUUCAAGGAUCAUCAUAUCUAUCCCUGAUAUGUUAUAGUUCAUCACAAAGCUCUAGCAGCUUGGUGGAAAUGACUUUGGAGAAACAUCACUAUCUCAUCUGGAAGAUUAACUCCCGCUCGAUUCAAGUGAUUGUUGUACUCAGACAAUCUGAGCACAAGCUCAACGAUUGAGCUUUUCUCCCUUAGUUUGCAGGCUAAGAAACUCGUCGGAGGUCUUAUACCUCUUGACGUGGGCACGAGCCUGAAAUCCCAAUUUCAGCCCUCGAAACAUCUCAUAUGUUCCGCACGUUUCGAAAUCGUCUUUGUUGCCUCAAUUCUAAACCGUUUAACAUUACUGAACUAUCAUGUAGUUAUCAAAAUGUGUAUGUCAGAUGUUCGCAACAUCCACAGACGACGUUCGAGGUUCAGCACACCGAGUGGUGCAUUAAGGACAUAAGCCUUCUACGCAGCAAUGAGGACAAUCCUUAGUUUACGGACCCAGUCCGCAUAAUUGCUACUAUCAACUUUCAACUACAUUUUCUCUAGGAACAUAUCUAAAACACUAGAACUAAAGCGCGAGCUGCGACAUAAUUUGCAAAAACCUUUUGACUAUGUUUAGGACAAUUAAGUUCAUCUUAUGAACUCCCACUCAGAUAGAGAUCCCUCUAGUCAUAUAAGUGAUACAUGAUCCCAGUCAACUAGGCCGUGUACGAUCAUCACGUGAGACGGACUAGUCAUCAUCGGUGAACAUCUUCAUGUUGAUUGUAUCCACUAUACAACUCAUGUUCGACCUUUCGGUCUCUUGUGUCCCAAGGCCAUGUCUGUACAUGCUAGGCUCGUCAAGUCAACCUAAGUGUUUCGCGUGUGUAAAUCUGGCUUACACCCGUUAUAUGUGAACGUUAGAAUCUAUCACACCCGAUCAUCACGUGGUGCUUCGAAACAACGAACUUUCGCAAUGGUGUACAGUUAGGGGGAACACUUUCUUGAAAUUAUUAUGAGGGAUCAUCUUAUUUACUACCGUCGUUCUAAGCAAAUAAGAUGCAUAAACAUGAUAAACAUCACAUGCAAUCAAAUAGUGACAUGAUAUGGCCAAUAUCAUUUUGCUCCUUUUGAUCUCCAUCUUCGGGGCUCCAUGAUCAUCAUCGUCACCGGCAUGACACCAUGAUCUCCAUCAUCAUAUCUCCAUGAAGUUGUCUCGCCAACUAUUACUUCUACUACUAUGGCUAACGGUUUAGCAAUGAAGUAAAGUAAUUACAUGGCGUUAUUCAGUGACGCGCAGGUCAAACAAUAAAUAAAGACAACUCCUAUGGCUCCUGCCGGUUGUCAUACUCAUCGACAUGCAAGUCGUGAUUCCUAUUACAAGAACAUGAUCAAUCUCAUACAUCACAUAUAUUUCAUUCAUCACAUCCUUUUUGGCCAUAUCACAUCACACGGCAUAUGCUGCACAAACAAGUUAGACGCCCUCUAAUUAUUGUUGCAAGUUUUUUACGUGGCUGCUAUAGGUUUCUAGCAAGAACGUUUCUUACCUACGUUAAAACCACAACGUGAUAUGCCAAUUGCUAUUUACCCUUCAUAAGGACCCUUUUCAUCGAAUCCAAUCCGACUAAAGUGGGAGAGACUGGCACCUGCUAGCCACCUUAUGCAACAAGUGCAUGUCAGUCGGUGGAACCUGUCUCACGUAAGUGUACGUGUAAGGUCGGUCCGGGCCGCUUCAUCCCACAAUACCGCCUAAACAAGAUAGGACUAGUAAGGGUAAGCAUAUUGAACAAAAUCAACGCCCACAACUACUUGUGUUCUACUCGUGCAUAGAAUCUACGCAAUAGACCUAGCUCAUGAUGCCACUGUUGGGGAACGUAGCAGAAAUUCAAAAUUUUCUAUGCAUCACCAAGAUCAAUCUAUGGAGUAACUAGCAACGAGAGAGAGGGGAGUGCAUCUUCAUACCCUUGAAGAUCGCGAUGCGGAAGCGUUGCAAGAAUGCGAUCGGUGGAGUCGUUCACUAAGCGAUUCAGAUCGCGGUCGAAUCCGAUCUAAGCACUGAACAACGGUGCCUCCGCGUUCAACACACGUACAGCCCAGGGACGUCUCCUCCUUGAUCCAGCAAGGGGAGAGGAGAAGUUGAGGGAGAGCUCCGGCAGCACGACGGUGGUGGUGGAGCUUGCAGUUCUCCGGCAGAGCUUCGCCAAGCACUACGGAGGAGGAGGUGUUGGGGAGGGAGAGGGCUGCGCCAGGGGAAGGGUCAAGCUCCCAUGCGCCUCCCCGCUAUAUAUAGGGGUGGAGGGGGCUGGUUUCUUGCCCUCCAAGUCCAUUGGGGCGUUGGCAAAGGUGGGAGGAAAGAAAUCUCAUCAUUUCCUUCCCCACCGAUUGUUAUCCCCCUUUUUUAGGGAUCUUGAUCUUAUCCCUUCGGAAUAUGAUCUUAUUCCUUCUAAUGGGGGAUCUUGGUGGGCCUUGACCAGGGGUGUGGGGCCUUGCCCCCACUACCCACGUUCAUGUGGGUCCCCCCAUGUAGGUGGGCCCCACUCCGAAACCUUCUAGAACCUUCCCGGUACAAUACCGAAAAAUCCUGAACAUUUUCCGGUGGCCAAAAUAGGACUUCCCAUAUAUAAAUCUUUACCUCCGGACCAUUUCGGAACUCCUCGUGACAUCCGGGAUCUCAUCCGCGAAUCCGAACAACAUUCGGUAACUGCACACUAAUUCCCAUAACAACUCUAGCGUCACCGAACCUUAAGUGUGUAGACCCUACGGGUUCGGGAAUCAUGCAGACAUGACCGAGACAGCUCUCUGGCCAAUAACCAACAGCAGGAUCUGGAUACCCAUGUUGGCUCCCACAUGUUCCACGAUGAUCUCAUCGGAUGAACCAUGAUGUCAAGGAUCCAAGCAAUCACGUAUACAAUUCCCUUUGUCAAUCGGUACGUUACUUGCCCGAGAUUCGAUCGUUGGUAUCCCAAUACCUCGUUCAAUCUCGUUACCGGCAAGUCACUUUACUCGUUCCGUAAUGCAUUGUGACGCCCUCGAUUCAAUCGUACACUAAUCAUACACGCAAAUGUGUACGAUCAAGAUCAAGGACUCACGGGAAGAUAUCACAACACAACUCUAGACACAAAUUGAAAUAAUACAAGCUUUAUAUUACAAGCCAGGGGCCUCGAGGGCUCAAAUACAUAAGCUUGAAAACACAAGAGUCAGCGGAAGCAACAAUAUCUGAGUACAGACAUAAGUUAGACAAGUUUGCCUUAAGAAGGCUAGCACAAAAGCAACAUUAAUCGAAAAGGCAAGGCCUCCUGCCUGGGAGCCUCCUAACUACUCCUGGUCAUCACGGUCUUCAUGAGGUAGUAGGCACCCUCGUGGUAGUAGUAGUCGUCGUCGAAGGUGGCGUCUGGCUCCUGGACUCCACCAUCUGGUUGCAACAACCAGAAAGAAGAAAGAAGGGGGAAAAGGGGUAGCAAAGCAACCGUGAGUACUCAUCCAAAGUACUCGCAAGCAAGGAUCUAAACUACAUAUGCAACAUUAUCAAAGAAAGGUUGUAUAUGUGGACUGGGCUGCAGAAAUGCCAGAAUAGAGAGAAGGCCUAGUCCUAUCGAAGACUAGCGUCUUUUGGAAACCACCAUCUUGCAGCAAACAGGAGGGAGUAGAGUAGCAUAAGGUAAAGUAGUAGUAGUGUUAUCAACCUCGGCCAGAGAUCCUUUCUCGACUCCCUGCGAGGAAGCAAUCCCAGAGCCAUACUAUCCAAUUAUCAUCACAAUUCAAUUCUCAUCACCAUCCAAUUCUCAUCACAAGUAUCCAGUUCUAGUUGUAUCGAUCGGGAUACAACUCCAAGUGUCCGUUACCGUAGGACAGGCUAUCGAUAGAUGUUUUCUUCCCUGCAGGGGUGCACCAACUUACCCACCACGCUUGAUUAACUCCGGCCGGACACACUUUCCUGGGUCAUGCCCGGCCUCGGCCAAACAAUACGCCGCAACCCGACCUAGGCUUAAUAGAGAGGCCAGCACGCCGGACUAAACCUAUGCCCCCAGGGGUCAUGGGCCAUCUCCCCGAGAACUCCUGCAUGUUGCAUACGCGGCCGGUGAGCAGACCUAGCUACCUCCUUCAACAAGGCAGGCGCUUACGCAGUCCAACCCGGCGCGCGCCGCUCAGUCACUGACGUCUACUAAGCUUCGGCUGAUGUAUACGACGCAGAACACCCAUACUAUGCCCACGUGAUGGUUAGUGCUAUCAGGCCAGAGGCCCCUCGGAUCAAAUAUCCAAAUCGUAGUGGAUUAGGAAUGCGCGGUAACAAGCAGAGACUCACGAAAGAUGUGACCCCGUUACCCCGUCUCGAGGACUUGCGGCAAGGGCUAAGAAUGCCCGGCCACGCCUCGUAAUUAUCUCUCGGGCACCUUCCAGGUCAACCCGACUCCACAUCACUCGCAAUUAUGCUCGCGCGGGUACCCCUCAAGGUCAACCCGUCUUUAGUAACAUGGUUCAGUGUAAAGCCAUAGUAACCAUAGUAACCAUGUGUCCAAACAUCAAGGGGAAAACCCGAGGAAUCACCCCCGGUGAAUUCUACUUGAUGUAAUCAUCAAGGUGAACGUAAGAGGGACCACCCUCGAGGUUCACACUUGAGUGGUUGCACGAUAGAGUCAUAUCAGAAGUGGUUAAAGAGGAAAUCACCCUCGAUGACCACGACCGAAUAGCUACACUACAGGGUUAACAUCAGAAGUGCUGUAGAGGUCUCACCCUCAGCACUCGAUAGUAACCUAGUAGUGUCGAGCAACUAAGGGGAAAGUGAUGUGCGGUGCCGGGGCCUGGUCUUCGAUCCCGUUGAUCGGGUCUUCAAUGAUGAAGCAGGGGCAACAAGGAUAAGGUGGGGGGUCACUGAUGGCUCACUAACCAACCUAUACUAAGCAGUUUAGGAUAAGCAGGUAAGGUAACAAUAAGCCGGUACAAAAGCAGGCUAUGCAUCAGAAUAGGAGCAAUCAAUAACAGUAGUAAAAUCUAAUGCAAGCAUAAGAGACUGGAAUGGGCGAUAUCGGGAUGAUCAAAGGGGGGCUUGCCUGGUUGCUCUGGCAAGGAGGGGUCGUCGUCGACGUAGUCGAUCACAGGGGCAGCAUCGGUCUCGGGGUCUAUCAGAGAGAAGAGGGGAAGAAACAGUAAAUAUAAAGCAAACAUAGCAUCACAAAGCAUAACGUGGCAAAAUGAUGUGCCGGGUGUGACCUAACGUAUGGCUACACGAUAAAGGUGAAGGGGGAAUUCAACCGGGAAUGUUUUCCCGGUUCCGGAGCUGUGUCAGACAGAUGACCGGAGGGGGAAUGUUCCAUGUUCAGAUAGUUAGAGGUAUCUGACAGGUAAACGGACCGCGUAUCCGGAUUCGACACGUUUUUCUGAGCAACUUUCAUGUAGAAAACAUUUUCAUCUGAGCUACGGUUUAAUUUCUAUGAAUUUUUAAAGUUUAAACCAUUUUCUGGAAUUAUUUAAAUUAACAGAAAAUGAAAUAUGACGCCAGCAGAGUGUCAGCAUGACAUCAGCAGGUCAACAGACCCGCUGACUGGUCAAACUGACCAGUGGGUCCCACAUGUCAUAGAGAGAGGGCUAACAGUGGGGUUAUUUUAAUUGAACAUGUGUUAGUUAGCAGUUGGGCCCCACAUGUCAGUCUCUAAAAUGCAACUAAUUCGGUUUUAAUUAAUAAAACGUUGGUUAAACUAAUUACGCGGUGGGGCCCAUAUGUCAGCGUCUCUGGGCUGCCCAGUCAGCAGUUGACUGGGUCAACCCAGUCAACUGGGACCCGCUGGGCCCAACGUCAGUGACUCAGGUGAUGGGGCCCACACAUCCAUGUUGGCGGCUGGGCCGGGGAGGGCUCCGGCGACCAAGGCGACGGCGGCGCCUCGCCGGAGUUGGCCGGGGCCGCGCUACAGGGGGCCUCCGGACCUACGGCUUGGACCUAAGGGCGCGGCCCGGCGCCGCGCACACGAUGGUGACGACGACCGGCAUCGGGGACGACUAGAGCAUCCCCGACGACGAGAAAGGCGGCAACGAGCUUCGGGCGUGUGAUGGCGAAGGCGAAGCAGCGUGCUAUGGAACGAAAGGAAAGGCUGGGGAGGAUCCCCGUGGUGCGGCGAGUCCAACGGGCUUGAGCCCGUGACCAAAAGUUCACCGAGCCUCGCCGGCGGCGAGCUCCACGGCGAUGCAUUUCGGAGCUCAUCGGGGACGAUGCUAGGAGGCACAGGAGGGAGCGUGCGCAUGCGCGUUGGGCUCCUGGGAACCCCAGGAGCACAACUGUGAGCUCAGGCGAGCGUGUCGACGGUCACAACGACGGUAACGAGCUCGUCGGCGGAUCUCGGCUCGGCCAUGGUGGGUCCAGCCGUUCUGGGCGCGUACGGGAGAAAAAGAGAGAGGGGGGGGGGGAGGAAAAGGGGCUCACCUUGCGGCACGCACGGUGGCCCUCGGCGGCUUAGUAGCAGCAGAGACGGCGCCGGAGACGAAGAUGGGCGGCGACGACCGGAGACGUGGACGAAAGGGAUCUGGCGCUUCGGUGCUCCCCAACUCCAGCUGAGGCCGCCGGUCGAUGGAGAGGACGACAGCAGAGCUCACCGUCAAGGUCAGCGGGCGCGGGGCCGCCGGUGGCCGCGACAACGACGGAGGGCGGCGGCGACUGCGCUCGGGCCGCGGAUCUGGAGGAGAGGAGGGCGGAGCGAGCGCGUGGGUGAGAGAAGAGAGAGAGAAAGGGGCAAGUGGGCGAGUGGGAGGCGUCGGGGCGGCCUUAUCCCCUCCCGUCGACGGCGAGGUGGUCCGGUGGCGACGCGCGGGCGCGCGCCCUCGGUCGGUUGGACAGUGGAAAGGGAGAGCGACGGCCCAGGGGGGUGUGGGCCGGCCUGUUGGGCCAGCUGGCUCGGGUGGGCUGAAGCCUGAGUGAGGCAGAGGGCCUCUCUCUCCCCUCUACUUCUCCUUUUCUUUUUUUCUUUUUGUUGUUUUUCUUUUUCUUUUCCAGCAGCUUUUGCAUUUUCUUUUAGCCACAAUUGACUUUGCAAAAUUAUGCCACUGGCCAAAACAAUUUCAAAGAAUUAAAGUGCACUGCCUCAAAAAGGUUGGGAGGCUUUUGGAAUAGUUGCCAAUUUUAUAAAUUAAAAAGGGCAUUUAAUUUAUUGCUAAGGUCACUGUUUUAAGUACUUUAGGCCACUUAAACCCUUUGCAAAAAUGUUGGUUUACCACCAAUAUUAGUUGUGGAAUAUUUGGCACAUGAUGAACAUUUUUGUUUUCAUGUUUGAGAAAUUUUGAAUUCCCCUCAUAAUUUGAAUUUGAAUUUGACUUUGAUUUUUCAUCAAGUGAUAAUUAGCUCAGUAAGCAUGGUGACCUGGCACCAUUAACAGGGGAUUACUGUAGUAUGACACUGUGAGGGUGUUACAAAUCUCCUCCACUACAAGAAAUCUCAUCCCGAGAUUUAAGUGGGAAAGAAAAGAGUAACUCCGGGAGAACUGACCCUUAUGGGUUUAAUUGUCUGGUGAGCAAUGCAGGUAAUGUGACAGAAGUAUCUCUCGAGUUGAAAUUUAAGAAUAACGUCGAGAGCAAAAUAUGAAGGUACAAUAAGAAGUUUCAUGCGGAUGGACAAUCGACCGAUACCUGAACAAAGUGUGAGAAGGGGUUCGGAGCAUCAGGAAUAGAUCAUCCCUCGGGGNNNNNNNNNNGAUACGAAGCCAAAUGCAAGAAUGUUUCGGAAUCAAAGAUAUACAGGAGAGUCAGGUUUCGAUCGUGUGGAACUGUGGGUUAUGGGCCCACCGUGUGGGUUAAAAGCAAGAAGGCACUAAAAUUUUGCACGGCCAUGAUAGCAAGGCAGGUCAUAGGAUAGCCUGCCAAUUAUGUUGGCAACAGCGUUGGUACCAAGGGCGAGGGACGAAGAGGACCAUUUUCCUGCUGAUAAUACGAGGCGGACCAAUAGGCAAAGUUUUCGUCCAUCGGUGGUUACCGGAAUGUCAUCAACAAUAGUAACAGGGUCUUACUGACAGAGUUGUACACCAAGGUGCUUACUUAAGCAGGGAUUUAUCUCUACUUAGACAAGUUAGAUGACAAGAAAGGUGAAACAAAACAAUGGAAAGGAAAAUGUGAUUAUUAUGAUAACCAGAGCAAUGAAAAGGAAAGAUGUUUAUACCCAAGUGUUAGAGUAUAACUUUCCCAAGGAAAGGCAGAGCAUGAUAGGGCUUCAAGUAUUAAGCCGUUUAGACAAAGGGGCAAGGAAUUUAUGAGGUUUACCCAUACAAUGGUGUUUGGAUAAUUGAUCAAGAACAAUUAGCAUUGCGCUCCCAAUGUUCUUGUUGAUGAUCGGAGUACCACACACAUGCUUCGGGAUAGUGUUGACAUGGCCAUCGGGGAAAUGUCAGACUUUGGAUACACAAAGGAUCCAUCGGAACAACUUAUAAAAUAAGUCAUACAAUUUCAACAAGGAAAAGAUGAGGAUGGGGCCCACGGGCUCAGCAACAAUUCAUCGAGGGGGUAAGGAUGGUAUUUCUCAUCAUGAAUUCGGUUGAUAUCCUAGAAAAGUUUGGAAUGAUGAUGAUGAUCACGACACAUUUGUCGAGAGGUUUCAUGAAGAUGUAAUCGAUCAACGACGACAUUAAGCAAAAGAAAUGAUGAAGUGUAAGGUUAAUUGAAUCACGAGUACGACACAAACUCGAAAGCAAGCUUGCUGUUCAUGGCAAAAUGGUAUGACGAGGAAGAUCGACAUAAGCUUAGCUCGUCGUCGAAAAUUGUGCUCCGGAAAGGACCUGGUAGCACAGUUAAAAUUUAGCAUGAUAAUGAUAUAACCGAUCAAGCUAGGAAUGAUGUGAUGGAGUAUCAUUCCAAUGAGAAUUCACAAGUGGUAGUGCAAUGACACAAUAUACUUGAGAUAACAAGGGGCAAUACUUGAGGUAGAUCAAAAAUAGAGGUUAGACAUAUGAAAUGAUCUACAGAAGACAAGUAUUUUAACUUGUCCGGGAAAUGGAGUUAAGGAGAAACUAUGGUUGGAACCACGGUUACGAAUGAUCAAACCACCGAUACAAUAUGAACUUAUAAAAAGGGGUAAUCAUAUUUACGAGCAGCUUCCACGAUAAGUUCUACAUCGGGUCCAUGGGCAUGAACAUAAGGGUUCAAGGUCGACUCCCACUUCUUCACUGCAUAACCUUUCAUUCACUCCUCGUUUUUCAAAGAAAAUGUAGUGCAGAGGAUUUAUCUGGCGAAGUACGAGAAGAGUAAGACUCGUGAGAACUCUCGGGUUCACUCGGAUUACGGAAGGCAUAAGUUGAACCCAUCGGGGCAUUUUUACGAAUCUAUACCACCAUCAACCAAGCAAAAGAUACGAGUUCGAAAGCAGAGUAUCGAAGUCAAAGCAGAUGAUACAAUAUACUGAAGGUAUUAUGUAUCAGGGAAAUACUGAUAAGAUAUUGGAUGUGAAGGACACUGUCAGAUAACAACCCAGCAAUGGAUUUGGCGAUUCACGACAGAGUUGAUGUGAGUAUCGGUAAUCAAUCAGAUGAAGAAGGGGAUGCAAAGGCAUUGGCUUAUAUAAAUGUCUGAAUGAUUCGAUGCUUGGGUACACAGGAAUUAUGAUUUCAAGACGAAGGAUCAGAAGCAGAGGCUCUGAUCAAAAGAUGAGUAAGUUGAAUAGACUUAGAGGUGCACCCGAUCAAAUCUUGAUUGGGCAAGAACCAACUCAUAUUCGAAACAAUGCCUGAGCCGGAAACAAAAUUUCCAAGGAUUAAUUGAUGAUCGUGUGCAUUCUCACACAUGCCGAAUCAAUAGGAUCAGAAUGUUAAUCCCAAAGGAUUUUAACGAAUAUCGCUAGACAAAUGGAAUUAACCAGAAAGCAAGUAUGCAAGAAUUCCAAGAGCAACAGGUUGUAGAGGAUUUUCGAAAGAUCAAAAUAGUAUUUCGAAGUAUUUUGUGAAUCACACGAACAACUGAGGAUGAACUGAUCCUCGGUGAGUGCAAGGAAUUAUUCGAAGGGGGGUAUUCAUGGGGCAAAGAACUGCAAGGCAGUAAGCUCAAAGGAUUCUCAAAACAAUAGAGAAUUUCGGGGCAUCUUGUAAUAUCAGGAGCAACUAGGAAUGAAGGUACAAGCGGCAAGGAUGUUAUUCAAGGGGAUUACCGGUGGUCAGGAACUGCAAGGCAGUUGGUACAGGGUCUCGAGAAACAUCGAGGAGUAUCCGUAGAAUCUUCUGGUGAAGCAAGCGAUCAUCGAUAAUGUCGAGGCUCUCUGGGAGGAAGUGGGUACGAGAACCUAAUGUCAGAGUUUAGUAAAAUGGUUAACCCAAAUAGAAGAGAGAUCAGAGUCCCAGAGUAUAGACGAGGAAUAAAAGAUCCUAAUACCACCCAAUGGCGACGUGGGCCCGUAAGCCACACAGCCAAUGUUAGUAAAAGUUUUUCAGUGACUAGACUCAACUUCGGCCAAGGAGUUGAAAAGGGGGCUACCUACAGGCAGUCGGCUCUGAUACCAACUUGUGACACCCUCGAUUUAAUCGUACACUAAUCAUACACGCAAAUGUGUACGAUCAAGAUCAAGGACUCACGGGAAGAUAUCACAACACAACUCUAGACACAAAUUAAAAUAAUACAAGCUUUAUAUUACAAGCCAGGGGCCUCGAGGGCUCGAAUACAUAAGCUCGAAAACACAAGAGUCAGCGGAAGCAACAAUAUCUGAGUACAGACAUAAGUUAGACAAGUUUUCCUUAAGAAGGCUAGCACAAAAGCAACAUUGAUCGAAAAGGCAAGGCCUCCUGCCUGGGAGCCUCCUAACCACUCCUGGUCAUCGUGGUCUUCAUGAGGUAGUAGGCACCCUCGUGGUAGUAGUAGUAGUCGUCGAAGGUGGCGUCUGGCUCCUGGACUCCACCAUCUGGUUGCAACAACCAGAAAGAAGAAAGAAGAGGGAAAAGGGGUAGCAAAGCAACCGUGAGUACUCAUCCAAAGUACUCGCAAGCAAGGAUCUACACUACAUAUGCAACAUUAUCAAAGAAAGGUUGUAUAUGUGGACUGGGCUGCAGAAAUGCCAGAAUAGAGAGAAGGGCUAGUCCUAUCGAAGACUAGCAUCUUCUAGAAACCACCAUCUUGCAGCAAACAGGAGGGAGUAGAGUAGCAUAAGGUAAAGUAGUAGUAGUGUUAUCAACCUCGGCCAGAGAUCCUUUCUCGACUCCCUGCGAGAAAGCAAUCCCAGAGCCAUACUAUCCAAUUAUCAUCACAAUUCAAUUCUCAUCACCAUCCAAUUCUCAUCACAAGUAUCCAUUUCUAGUUGUAUCGAUCGGGAUACAACUCCAAGUGUCCGUUACCGUAGGACAGGCUAUCGAUAGUUGUUCUCUUCCCUGCAGGGGUGCACCAACUUACCCACCACGCUCGAUUAACUCCGGCCGAACACACUUUCCUGGGUCAUGCCCGGCCUCGGCCAAACAAUACGCCGCAACCCGACCUAGGCUUAAUAGAGAGGCCAACACGCCGGACUAAACCUAUGCCCCCAGGGGUCAUGGGCCAUCUCCCCGGGAACUCCUGCACGUUGCGUACGCGGCCGGUGAGCAGACCUAGCUACCUCCUUCAACAAGGCAGGCGCUUACGCAGUCCAACCCGGCGCGCGCCGCUCAGUCGCUGACGUCUACUAAGCUUCGGCUGAUGUAUACGACGCAGAACGCCCAUACUAUGCCCACGUGAUGGUUAGUGCUAUCAGGCCAGAGGCCCCUCGGAUCAAAUAUCCAAAUCGUAGUGGAUUAGGAACGCGCGGUAACAAGCAGAGACUCAUGAAAGAUGUGACCCCGUUGCCCCAUCUCGAGGACUUGCGGGAAGGGUUAAGAAUGCCCGACCACACCUCGUAAUUAUCUCUCGGGCACCUUCCAGGUCACCCCGACUCCACAUCACUCGCAAUUAUGCUCGUGCGGGUACCCCUCAGGCUCAACCCGUCUUUAGUAACAUGGUUCAGUGUAAAGUCAUAGUAACCAUAGUAACCGUGUGUCCAAACAUCAAGGGGAAAACCCGAGGAAUCACCCCCGGUGAAUUCUACUCGAUGUAAUCAUCAAGGUGAACGUAAGAGGGACCACCCUCGAGGUUCACACUUGAGUGGUUGCACGACAGAGUCGUAUCAGAAGUGGUUAAAGAGGAAAUCACCCUCGAUGACCACGACCGAAUAGCUACACUACAGGGUUAACAUCAGAAGUGAUGUAGAGGUCUCACCCUCGGCACUCGAUAGUAACCCAGUAGUGUCGAGCAACUAAGGGGAAAGUGAUGUGCGGUGCCGGGGCCUGGUCUUCGAUCCCGUUGAUCAGGUCUUCAAUGAUGAAGCAGGGGCAACAAGGAUAAGGUGGGGGGGGGGGUCACUGAUGGCUCACUAACCAACCUAUACUAAGCAGUUUAGGAUAAGCAGGUAAGGUAACAAUAAGCCGGUACAAAAGCAGGCUAUGCAUCAGAAUAGGAGCAAUCAAUAACAGUAGUAAAAUCUAAUGCAAGCAUAAGAGACUGGAAUGGGCGAUAUCGGGAUGAUCAAAGGGGGGGCUUGCCUGGUUGCUCUGGCAAGGAGGGGUCGUCGUUGACGUAGUCGACCACAGGGGCAGCAUCGGUCUCGGGGUCUAUCAGAGAGAAGAGGGGGAAGACACAGUAAAUAUAAAGCAAACAUAGCAUCACAAAGCAUAACGUGGCAAAAUGAUGUGCCGGGUGUGACCUAACGUAUGGCUACACGAUAAAGGUGAAGGGGGAAUUCAUCCGGGAAUGUUUUCCCGGUUCCGGAGCUGUGUCAGACAGAUGACCUGAGGGGGAAUGUUCCAUGUUCAGAUAGUUAGAGGUAUCUGGAUUCGUCACGUUUUUCUGAGCAACUUUCAUGUAGAAAACAUUUUCAUCUGAGCUACGGUUUAAUUUCUAUGAAUUUUUAAAGUUUAAACCAUUUUCUGGAAUUAUUUAAAUUAACAGAAAAUGAAAUAUGACGCCAGCAGAGUGUCAGCAUGACAUCAGCAGGUCAACAGACCUGCUGACUGGUCAAACUGACCAGUGGGUCCCACAUGUCAUAGAGAGGGCUAACAGUGGGGUUAUUUUAAUUGAGCAUGUGUUAGUUAGCAGUUGGGCCCCACAUGUCAGUCUCUAAAAUGCAACUAAUUAGGUUUUAAUUAAUAAAACGUUGGUUAAACUAAUUACGCGGUGGGGCCCAUAUGUCAGCGUCUCUGGGCUGCCUAGUCAGCAGUUGACUGGGUCAAUCCAGACAACUGGGACCCGCUGGGCCCAGCGUCAGUGACUCAGGUGAUGGGGCCCACGCAUCCAUGUUGGCGGCUACGUCGGGGAGGGCUCCGGCGACCAAGGCGACGGCGGCGCCUCGCCGGAGUUGGCCAGGGCCGCGCUACAGGGGGCCUCCGGACCUACGGCUUGGAACUAAGGGCGCGGCCCGGCGCCGCGCACAUGAUGGUGACAACGACCGGCGUCGGGGACGACCGGAGCAUCGCCAGUGACGAGAAAGGCGGCGACGAGCUUCGGGCGUGUGAUGGUGAAGGCGAAGCAGCGUGCUACGGAACGAAAGGAAAGGCUGGGGAGGAUCCCCGUGGUGCGGCGAGUCCAACGGGCUUGAGCCCGUGACCAAAAGGUCACUGGAGCCUCGCCGGCGGCGAGCUCUGCGGCGAUGCAUUCCGGAGCUCAUCGGGGACGAUGCUAGGAGGCACGGGAGGGAGCGUGCGCGUGCGCGUUGGGCUCCUGGGAACCCCAGGAGCACAACUGUGAGCUCAGGCGAGCGUGUCGAUGGUCACAACGACGACAACGAGCUCGUCGGCGGAGCUUGGCUCGGCCAUGGCGGGUCCAGCCAUUCUGGGCGCGUACGGGAGCAAAAGAGAGGGGGGGGGGAGGAAAAGGGGCUCACCUUGCGGCAUGCACGGUGGCCCUCGGCGGCUUAGUAGCAGCAGAGACGGCGCUGGAGACGAAGAAGGGCGGCGACGACCGAAGACGUGGAUGAAAGGGAUCCGGCGCUUCGGUGCUCCCCAACUCCAGCUGAGGCCACCGAUCGAUGGAGAGGACGACGACAGAGCUCACCGUCAAGGUCAGCGGGCGCGGGGCCGCCGGUGGCCACGACAACGACGGAGGGCGGCGGCGACUGCGCUCGGGCCGCGGAUCUGGAGGAGAGGAGGGCGGAGCGAGCGCGUGGGCGAGAGAAGAGAGAGAGAAAGGGGGCAAGUGGGCGAGUGGGAGGUGUCGGGGCGGCCUUAUCCCCUCCCGUCGACGGCGAGGUGGUCCGGCGGCGACGCGCGGGCGCGCGCCCUCGGUCGGUUGAAUAGGGGAAGGGGGAGAGCGACGGCCCAGGGGGGUGUGGGCCGGCCUGUUGGGCCAGCUGGCUCGGGUGGGCCGAAGCCUGAGUGAGGCAGAGGGCCUCUCUCUCCCUCUACUUCUCCUUUUCUUUUUUUCUUUUUGUUGUUUUUCUUUUUCUUUUCCAGCAGCUUUUGCAUUUUCUUUUAGCCACAAUUGACUUUGAAAAUUAUGCCACUGGCCAAAACAAUUUCAAAGAAUUAAAGUGCACUGCCUCAAAAAGGUUGGGAGGCUUUUGGAAUAGUUGCCAAUUUUAUAAAUUAAAAAGGGCAUUUAAUUUAUUGCUUAGGUCACUGUUUUAAGUAGUUUAGGCCACUUAAACCCUUUGCAAAAAUGUUGGUUCACCACCAAUAUUAGUUGUGGAAUAUUUGGCACAUGAUGAACAUUUUUGUUUUCAUGUUUGAGAAAGUUUGAAUUCCCCUCAUAAUUUGAAUUUGAAUUUGACUUUGAUUUUUCAUCAAGUGAUAAUUAGCUCAGUAAGCAUGGUGACCUGGCACCAUUAACAGGGGAUUACUGUAGCAUGACACUGAGGGUGUUACAUGCAUGAUCCCGUGACCAACUACUUAGUCAUAUUGAGCUCGUUAUGAUGAUGCAUUACCGAGUGGGCCCAGAGAUACCUCUCCGUCACACGGAGUGACAAAUCCCAGUCUCGAUUCGUGCCAACCCAACAGACACUUUUGGAGAUACCCGUAGUGCACCUUUAUAGCCACCCAGUUAUGUUGUGACGUUUGGCACACCCAAAGCAUUCAUAUGGUAUCCGGGAGUUGCACAAUCUCAUGGUCUAAGGAAAUGAUACUUUACAUUAGAAAAGCUUUUAGCAAACGAACUACACGAUCUUGUGCUAUGCUUAGGAUUGGGUCUUGUCCAUCACAUCAUACUCCUAAUGAUGUGAUCCCGUUAUCAAUGACAUCCAAUGUCCAUGGUCAGGAAACCAUAACCAUCGAUUGAUCAACGAGCUAGUCAACUAGAGGCUCACUAGGGACAUGUUGUGGUCUAUGUAUUCACACAUGUAUUACGGUUUCCAGUUAAUACAAUUAUAGCAUGAACAAUAGACAAUUAUCAUGAACAAGGAAAUAUAAUAAUAACCAUUUUAUUAUUGCCUCUAGGGCAUAUUUCCAACAAGUUGUUCAUAACUCCUUCUCUAUGUUGAUGUCUGUAACCUCCUGAUACUUGUUGCAAACACAUUCAUGUCCUUGACAAAUGAUGAUCAUACUUGCAUGAGAAAAACUAUCUUUUCGCAAAGAUGCCAAAUUAGUAGUAGAGCCUUGCAUAAUUAUUCUGUUAUCACUCUUGGGUUGCUUGCGAGUACAUUCAAAGUACUCAUUGGCUUGCCACUGGUUAUUUUAUUGGCCAGGCAUGAAAGACAAGACAUAUUGAAGAGGUCUUUGGUGACAAUCGUGCGAGCUAGGACAAUUUCCCAGUCCGAAUGCCUGUAGGGUUAAGGCAGAUGGCAUGGGUCCAAGUUAUUGACGAAGAUUUCCGCUGCAAUGUUAUGCUCAAGACUUGACCAUAAUGGUUGUAAUUCAUGUAAGACUGUAUGUAUGGAUGUAAGACUCUUACUUGAGCUAUAAUGGCCAAAAAUAGUAGCGCACAGAUCCUUAAUCCAAGCACUAAAAUUUAAGCCGAGGGGAACAAGUAGUAUAUAUGAUCUAUUUACUCACAUGUAUGUGUUGAGAUUGUGGUUGAGAUGGCAAUUCUGCCGUGCAGCAAUAACAUCCCAUUCAUCCUCAUCGACUUGCACAGUUACGAUGUUGACUCGAUCGGACUCGGCGUCAGUGUACCCCCGACAUCUAUAGUGUGUUUGAUAAUGUGAUGCUAACGUCGAUUUUGUUUCUUCGUACGCAGGCGGCGGAAGGGGCUUUGAGAUCUCCAAGUUGGAGAAGAGGAAGUGUCCUCUAAUGCUGCAACCAAGGGAAAUGUCACCAGGUGAUUUGUUCUUCUCUGUCAUGGAUUUUGUAUUUUUUUCGAGGAGUUGAUCACUUGUGUGUGUGAAGAAUUGAGUACACGCGGAUUGGUAGGAUUGAAAGAGAUUGCACUGAGCUAAUAAUGCAUUUUUUGUUUAAUAGCUGGAGUAUAAUUCCAUUCAGCUGGCAAUUAUCCAUGUAGUCAUGUAAGCUAUUGCCUAUAUGACUUAAGGUGUUUAAUAGCUGGAGUAUAAUUCCAUUCAGCCGGCAAUUCCAUUCAGAAGAAAUUGGAGAGGAGGAGGAUGACGAGUUGACUAUUGACGAGUCAUAUCCCUAGAGUUACUAAGCUCCCACCAAAUCGAGCCUCCUGGUGAAUCGCAGCUAGCGAGGGAUUUAUCAGCGGACGACUCUGUCGCUGUCCCGUGGCCCCCAAUCGUCUGUAGUCGGUUUACUUCUGUCAUACCUAUCCCAUGAAUACCGACCCAAACCCCGCACGGCUGGACGUAGUCUUCUUCUUUUUCUCUAGAAAUAUUUUCUUCAUGUCCCUCCCUCGCCCAGCCCCGGCAGCCACCGACCAUCUCCUCCAUCACCGCACCUCUUUGCCGCCACCCCAAUCUAGAUCCGAGCCGAGCAACCUUCAGAUCUGUCUUUUACCAACGAACCCUGCGUUCUGGUGUGUCGAGACUGAUGAGUGCCGCUCGCUCCCCACCUGUAAGUUGUGGUUCACUUGCAGGGGUCGUGGCUCACGGUGGUUGACGUCUUCGUGUUUCUCGUCGUGGUGGGCUUGCCCAACUGCUUACAACAUCUUCCAUGCCUCAUCUCCCAUGACCCCUCGCUCACGGAGGAGAGAUUGCGGCUGAAGGGAGGCAUAGCUUGAACGGGGUUCGUGGAUGAGGAAGGGGACUCGACAGCGCAGAGCUGGUGACGAAGGAGCAAGUCCGUAACGGUGUAGCUCGCGGCGGAGGAGGCUGGGGAUCCCAGACAAGGGAGGGACGGGUCCCGGUGGUUGCGGUGGCUGGAGGGCAGUCACAUCGUGGCCCUUCCAGGUAUCCUCUAAUUUCAUGGACAAUUCCUCUUGACGCGAGGGGAAACCUUCAUCUACAGUUAAAUAUUUUCUUCUUUAUAGACUUCAUGUUUUCCUUGGAUUUUGUCUAAAUGUCUUGGGAGUACAGAUAAUGGUGUGGGUAAAUAGUUGGUUUUUGGACCUCAUGUUGUAUUGCAUGAUCCCAUGGAAUGAGAUUCAUUUUGGUGAUCAUUUGUAUUCAAAGAAUGUUACUGAUACAAUUUUGUGACCGUUUUGGACUGUAAGAAACCACUGGAUGUUAAGGGGAAGUACCAAUCAGGCUUGUGCCUCUUCUGUACAUGUAUGCUCGGGAUGCCUCUUUUGUACGUGUAUGCUCGGGUUAUUUACUAAUUGUAUAUGUGCUAGACCUUCCUGAUGGUCCAUUGCCAGGCAUAGAAAGGCUACAAAUUUGAUUUUUUUGUCAAGUCUUUUGAUCUUAGCUUCUUGGAAAGACUGAGUUUCCACUUAUCUAAUGUGCUAAAUGAUCUCCAGCUAACUUCUGUAUAUUGAUUGAUACACCUCUCAGUUAAUAAGUAAAUAUCCUGUUGGCCACAAGACCGAGCUUCCAAUUUUUGUAUAUCCUUAACUGAAUGCAUCCUUAUGUUAUAUCAUGUUCGUUCUAAAAUGCAACAGUAUUGGUAGGGUGCUCAAUCAAAUUCCUCUGCUGGCUUGGUUAGUUCUUGAUACUAACAUGGAUAGACUUUUAAGUGCAUAGGUACUCACUUAAUUUCUACUGAGCUAUAAUGGCCAAAAACAGUAGCGCACAGAUCCUUAAUCCAAGCAAUAAAAUUUAAGCCGAGGGGAACAAGUAGUAUAUAUGAUCUAUUUACUCACAUGUAUGUGUUGAGAUUGUGGUUGAGAUGGCAAUUCUGCCGUGCAGCAAUAACAUCCCAUUCAUCCUCAUCGACUUGCACAGUUACGACGUUGACUCGAUCGGACUCGGCGUCGGUGUACCCCCGACAUCUAUAGUGUGUUUGAUAAUGUGAUGCUAACGUCGAUUUUGUUUCUUCGUACGCAGGCGGCGGAAGGGGCUUUGAGAUCUUCAAGUUGGAGAAGAGGAAGUGUCCUCUGAUGCUGCAACCAAGGGAAAUGACACCAGGUCAUUUGUUCUUCUCUGUCAUGGACUUUGUAUUUUUUUUCGAGGAGUUGAUCACUUGUGUGUGUGAAGAAUUGAGUACACGCGGAUUGGUAGGAUUGAAAGAGAUUGCACUGAGCUAAUAAUGCAUUUUUUGUUUAAUAGCUGGAGUAUAAUUACAUUCAGCUGGCAAUUAUCCAUGUAGUCAUGUAAGUUAUUGCCUAUAUGACUUAAGGUGUGGUGCAUUUAUUAAUCAUUAUUAUGAUAACUAAGAUUAACAUAAGUUAUUCAGACAUAUUUAUGAAUCUCAACUAAGAUAAGCUUAUUUGCAAUAUAUGCAAAUACUCCCUCUGUAAACAAAUAAAAGACGUUUUAGGUAUGAUAUUUGCAGAGGGAGUAGUAUAUAUCAAGAGAACAUCUGUUGGUAUGAUAUUUGCAUCACUUAAGUUAUUAUGGUUCUUUCAUGUCACAUCCUGAUUUUCAUGCCACAACACUUAAGCUAAUAAAUCAUGAUAAAUUGUGGUUUGACAAAAACUUUUGAGUGUUUAGGUCUUUGCUUGAUUUGAUAUUGUGUGUUGGUUGCAAGUGCUCUAAAAAUCAAAUAAAUCCUCCAACUCUUAUACUCCUUCUCCUUCAUCCAAAACCUUGCCCAAUGAUCAUGUCAUGUGUGUUGGACAUAAAAAUAAUUUCUUGCAGAAAUAUUUUGGCCAAAAAGUAUUUUCUAAAUUAGGUUUUCCAAAACCCCCUGAAUUGAGUCUUGAACUACAAGUACUUAAUUAAGGGUGUGAAAAAUCUUUCAAAAAUUAUAUUUGACUCCUAUUAGAUAUAGGACACCCAGAAACCACAAAAAUAUAAUUUUAAAAGUUAUUUUCCUAUUUUAUUUAAAGGCUUUUUCUUUAGGCCAGAAAUGGUCUUUAAUAGGUUAAAAUUAUUUUUAAGCUUCACAAAUAUUUUAGAAAAAUCAGGGAAACUCAGUGGACAUAUAUUUUCCAUACAUAAGAGUUUCAACACAUGGUCAUGUUCAAAAUAUUGGUCAAAUCCCUCAAAACCUAUUUCUGGAUAUUUCAAGCUUUUGAAACAUUUACAAAGGAAAUAUUCUCAAAAAAUUCCAAGACAAUUCUAGCAUGUCACAUAUGACAUGUUUGAUUAUCUUGCCAAGUAUCAUGUCAUGAAGAAUAGUAUAACCCCAUGAAAUCCCCUCAAAACCAUUUCUGUCCAUUUUGAAGUUUGAGCAACUUUACAUUGCCAAAGAUGUCCAUGAAGGAAAUAUGCCGUAGAGGCAAUAAUAAAGGUAUUAUUUAUUUCCUUAUUUCAUGAUAAAUGUUCAUUAUUCAUGCUAGAAUUGUAUUAACCGGAAACAUAAUACAUGUGUGAAUACAUAGACAAACAUAGUGUCACUAGUAUGCCUCUACCUGACUAGCUCGUGAAUCAAAGAUGGUUAAGUUUCCUAGCCAUGGACAAAAGAGUUGUCAUUUGAUUAACAUGAUCACAUCAUUAGGAGAAUGAUGUGAUUGACUUGACCCAUUCCGUUAGCUUAGCACACGAUCAUUUAGUAUGUUGCUACUGCUUUCUUCAUGACUUAUACAUGUUCUAUGACUAUGAGAUUAUGCAACUCCCGUUUACCAGAGGAACACUUUGUGUGCUACCAAACGUCACAACGUAACUGGGUGAUUAUAAAGGUGCUCUACAGGUGUCUUCGAAGGUACAUGUUGGGUUGGCGUAUUUCGAGAUUAGGUUUUGUCACUCCGAUUGUCGGAGAGGUAUCUCUGGGCCCUCUCGGUAAUACACAUCACUUAAAGCCUUGCAAGCAUUGCAACUAAUGAGUUAGUUGUGGGAUGAUGUAUUACGGAACGAGUAAAGAGACUUGCCGGUAACAAGAUUGAACUAGGUAUUGGAUACCGACGAUCGAAUCUCGGGCAAGUAACAUACCGAUGACAAAGGGAACAACGUAUGUUGUUAUGCGGUUUGACCGAUAAAGAUCUUCGUGGAAUAUGUAGGAACCAAUAUGGACAUCCAGGUUCCGCUAUUGGUUAUUGACCGAGAAUAGUUCUAGGUCAUGUCUACAUAGUUCUCGAACCCGUAGGGUCCACACGCUUAAGGUUUCGAUGACAGUUAUAUUAUGAGUUAAUGAGUUUUGAUGUACCGAAGGAGUUAGGAGUCCCGGAUGAGAUCAGGGACAUGACGAGGAGUCUCGAAAUGGUCGAGACGUAAAGAUCGAUAUAUUGGACGACUAUAUUCGGAGUUCGGAAAGGUUACGAGUGAUUCGGGUAUUUUUCGGAGUACCAAAGAGUUACGGGAAUUCGCCGGGGAGUAUAUGGGCCUUAUUGGGCCAUACGGGAAUAGAGGAGAGAGGCCGAAAGGAAGGAGGCGCGCAGCCCCCCUCUGGUCCGAAUUGGACAAGGGGUGCGGCCCCCCUUUCCUUCCUCCUCUCCCCCUCUUUCCCCCUUCUCCUACUCCAACAAGGGAAGGUGGAAUCCUACUAGGACUAGGGAGUCCUAGUAGGACUCCACACUUGGCGCGCCCCCUCCUAAGGCCGGCCACCUCCCCCCUUUCUCCUUUAUAUACGGGGGCAAGGGGGCACCCCAUGACACACAAGUUGAUCUACGGAUCGUUCCUUAGCCGUGUGCGGUGCCCCCUCCACCAUAUUCCACCUCGAUCAUAUCAUCGCGGAGUUUAGGCGAAGCCCUGUGCCGGUAGAACAUCAUCAUCAUCAUCACCACGCCGUCGUUCUGACGGAACUCAUCCCCGACGCUUUGCUGGAUUGGAGCCCGGGGAACGUCAUCGAGCUGAACGUGUGCUGAACACGGAGGUGCCGUACGUUCGGUGCUUGGAUCGGUCGAGUCGUGAAGACGUACGACUACAUCAUCCACGUUGUGAUAACGCUUCCGCUUACGGUCUACGAGGGUACAUGGACAAUACUCUCCUCUCUCGUUGCUAUGCCAUCACCAUGAUCUUGCAUGUGCGUAGGAAUUUUUUUAAAAUUACUACGUUACCCAACAGUGGUAUCAGAGCCUAGGUUUUAUGCGUUGAUGUUAUAUGCACGAGUAGAACACAAAUGAGUUGUGGGCGAUACAAGUCAUACUGCUUACCAGCAUGUCAUACUUUGGUUCGGCGGUAUUGUUGGAUGAAGCGGCCCGGACCGACAUUACGCGUACGCUUACGCGAGACUGGUUCUACCGACGUGCUUUGCACACAGGUGGCUGGCGGGUGUCAGUUUCUCCAACUUUAGUUGAACCGAGUGUGGCUACGCCCGGUCCUUGCGAAGGUUAAAACAUCACUAACUUGACGAACUAUCGUUGUGGUUUUGAUGCGUAGGUAAGAACGGUUCUUGCUAAGCCCGUAGCAGCCACGUAAAACUUGCAACAACAAAGUAGAGGAUGUCUAACUUGUUUUUGUAGGGCAUGUUGUGAUGUGAUAUGGUCAAGACAUGAUGCUAUAUUUAUUGUAUGAGAUGAUCAUGUCUUGUAACCGAAGUUAUCGGCAACUGGCAGGAGCCAUAUGGUUGUCGCUUUAUUGUAUGAAAUGCAAACGCCCUGUAAUUGCUUUACUUUAUCACUAAGCGGUAGCGAUAGUCGUAGAAGCAAUAGAUGGCGUAAAUGACAAUGAUGCUACGAUGGAGAUCAAGGUGUCGCGCCGGUGAUGAUGGUGAUCACGACGGUGCUUCGGAGAUGGAGAUCACAAGCACAAGAUGAUGAUGGCCAUAUCAUAUCACUUAUAUUGAUUGCAUGUGAUGUUUAUCCUUUAUGCAUCUUAUCUUGCUUUGUUUGACGGUAGCAUUUUAAGAUGAUCUCUCACUAAAAUUAUCAAGAAGUGUUCUCCCUGAAUAUGCACCGUUGCCAAAGUUCGUCGUGCCCAGACACAACGUGAUGAUCGGGUGUGAUAAGCUCUACGUCCAUCUACAACGGGUGCAAGCCAGUUUUGCACACGCAGAAUAUUCAGGUUAUACUAGACGAGCCUAGCAUAUGCAGAUAUGCAUCGGAACACAGAGACCGAAAGGUCGAGCGUGAAUCAUAUAGUAGAUAUGAUCAACAUAGUGAUGUUCACCAUUGAAAACUACUCCAUCUCACGUGAUGAUCGGUUAUGGUUUAGUUGAUUUGGAUCACGUAAUCACUUAGAUGACUAGAGAGAUAUCUAUCUAAGUGGGAGUUCUUAAGUAAUAUGAUUAAUUGAACUUUAAUUUAUCAUGAACUUAGUCCUAGUAGUAUUUUGCAAAUUAUGUUGUAGAUCAAUAGCUCGCGUUGUUGCUUUCAUAUGUUUAUUUUUAUAUGUGUUCCUAGAGAAAACUAUGUUGAAAGAUGUUAGUAGCAAUGAUGCGGAUUGGAUCCGUGAUCUGAGGUUUAUCCUCAUUGCUGCACAGAAGAAUUAUGUUCUUGAUGCACCGCUAGGUGACAGACCUAUUGCAGGAGCAGAUGUAGACGUUAUGAACGUUUGGCUAGCUCAAUAUGAUGACUACUUGAUAGUUUAGUGCACCAUGCUUAAACGGCUUAGAAUCGGGACUUCAAAGACGUUUUGAACGUCAUGGACCAUAUGAGAUGUUCCAGGAGUUGAAGUUAAUAUUUCAAGCAAAUACCUGAGUUGAGAGAUAUGAAGUCUCCAACAAGUUCUAUAGCUAAAAGAUGGAGGAGAAUCGCUCAACUAGUGAGCAUGUGCUCAGAUUGUCUGGGUACUACAAUCGCUUGAAUCAAGUGGGAGUUAUUCUUCCAGAUAAAAUAGUGAUUGACAGAGUUCUCUAGUCACCAUCACUAAGUUAGUAGAACUUUGUGAUGAACUAAGUAUGCAAGGGAUGACGAAAACGAUUCCCAAGCUCUUCGUGAUGUUGAAAUUGACGAAGGUAGAAAUCAAGAAAGAGCAUCAAGUGUUGACGGUUGACAAGAUCACUAGUUUCAAGUAAAGGGCAAAGGGAAAGAAAGGGAACUUCAAGUAGAAUGACAAGCAAGUUGUCACUCCCACAAAAAAGCCCAAAGCUGAACCAAAGCCUGAAACUAAGUGCUUACACUGCAAAGGAAAUGGUCACUGGAAGCGGAAAUGUCCUGAAUAUUUGGUGGAUAAGAAGGACGGCAAAGUGAACAAGGGUAUAUUUGAUAUACAGGUUAUUGAUGUGUGCCUUACUAGUGUUUAUAGUAGCCCCUGAGUAUUUGAUACUUGUUCGGUUGCUAAGAUUAGUAACUCAAAACAGGAGUUACAGAAUAAACAGAGACUAGUUGAAAGGGAAGUGACGAUGAGUGUUGGAAGUGGUUCCAAGAUUGAUAUGAUCAUCAUCGCACACUCCCUAUACUUUCGGGAUUAGUGUUGAACCUAAAUAAAUGUUAUUUGGUGUUUGCGUUGAACAUGAAUAUGAUUUGAUCAUGUUUAUUGCAAUACGGUUAUUCGUUUAAAAUCAGAGAAUAAUUGUUGUUCUGUUUAAAUGAAUAAAACCUUUGAUGGUCAUACACACAAUGAAAAUAGUUUGUUGGAUCUCGAUCGUAGUGAUACACAUAUUCAUAAUAUUGAUGCCAAAAGAUGCAAAGUUGAUAAUGAUAGUGCAACUUAUUUGUGGCACUGCCGUUUGGGUCAUAUCGGUGUAAAGCGCAUGAAGAAACUCCAUAAAGAUGGAUUUUUGGAAUCACUUGGUUAUGAAUCAUUUGAUGCUUGCGAACCAUGCCUUUUGGGCAAGAUGACUAAAACUCCGUUCUCUGGAACAAUGGAACGAGCUACUGACUUAUUGGAAACAAUACAUACCGAUGUAUGCAGUCCAAUGAGUGUUGAUGCUCGUGGCGGGUAUCGUUAUUUUCUGACCUUCACAAGAUGAAUUGAGCAGAUAUGAGUAUAUCUACUUGAUGAAACAUAAGUCUGAAAUAAUUGAAAGGUUCAAAGAAUUUCAGAGUGAAGUGGAAAAAUCAUCGUAACAAGAAAAUAAAGUUUCUACGAUCUGAUCAUGGAGACGAAUAUUUGAGUUACGAGUUUGGUCUUCAAUUAAAACAUUGUGGAAUAGUUUCACAGCUCACACCACCUGGAACACCACAACGUUAUGGUGUGUCCGAACGUCGUAACCGCACUUUAUUGGAUAUGGUGCGAUCAAUGAUGUCUCCUACUGAUUUACCACUAUCAUUUUGGGGUCAUGCAUUAAAGACAGCUGCAUUCACGUUAAAAAGGAGCACCACCUAAGUCCGUUGAGACGACACAAUAUGAACUGUGGUUUGGCAAGAAACCAAAGUUGUCGUUUCUUAAAGUUUGGGGUUGCGAUGCUUAUGUGAAAAAGUUUCAUCCUGAUAAGCUCAAACCCAAAUCGGAUAAAUGUGUCUUCAUAGGAUACCCAAAGGAGAAAGUUGGGUACACCUUCUAUCACAGAUCCGAAGGCAAGACAUUCGUUGCUAAGAAUGGAUCCUUUCUAGAGAAGGAGUUUCUCUCGAAAGAAGUGAGUGGGAGGAAAGUAGAACUUGAUAAGGUAAUUGUACCUUCUCCCUUAUUGGAAAGUAGUUCAUCACAGAAAUCUGUUCUUAUGACUAAUACACCAAUUAGUGAGGAAGCUAAUGAUGAUGAUCAUGUAACUUCAGAUCAAGUUACUACCGAAUCUAGUAGGUAAACCAGAGUAAGAUCCGCACCAGAGUGGUACGGUAAUCCUGUUCUGGAAGUCAUGUUACUAGACCAUGAUGAACCUACGAACUAUGAGGAAGCGAUGAUGAGCCCAGAUUCCACGAAAUGGCUUGAGGCCAUAAAAUCUGAGAUAUGAUCCAUGUAUGGAAACAAAGUAUGGACUUUGAUUGACUUGCUUGAUGAUCAGCAAGCCAUGUUAAAUAAAUGGAUCUUCAAGAGGAAGACGGACACUGAUAGUAGUGUUACUAUCUACUAAGCUCGACUUGUUGCGAAAGGUUUGCAACAAGUUCAAGGUGUCGAAUACGGUGAGAUUUUCUCACUCGUAUCGAAGCUUAAGUCUGUCUGAAUCAUGUUGGCAAUUGCCACAUUUUAUGAAAUCUGGCAAAAGGAUGUCAAAACUGCAUUCCUUAAUGGAUUUAUUAUAGAAGAGUUGUAUAUGAUGCAACCAGAAGGUUUUGUUAAUCCUAAAGGUACUAACAAAAUGUGCAAGCUCCAACGAUCCAUCAAUGGACUAGUGCAAGCAUCUCGGAGUUGGAAUAUACGCUUUGAUGAGUUGAUCAAAGCAUAUGGUUUUAUACAGACUUUUGGAAAGGCCUGUAUUUACAAGAAAGUGAGUGGGAGCUCUGUAGCAUUUCUGAUAUUAUAUGUGCAAGACAUAUUGUUGAUUGGAAAUGAUAUAGAAUUUCUGGAUAGCAUAAAAGGAUACUUGAAUAAAAAGUUUUUCAAUGAAAGACCUCGGUGAAGCUGCUUACACAUUGAGCAACAAGAUCUAUAGAGAUAGAUCAAGACGCUUGAUAAGAUUUUUCAAUGAGUACAUACCUUGACAAGAUUUUGAAGUAGUUCAAAAUGGAAUAGUCAAAGAAAGAGUUCUUGCCUGUGUUGCAAGGUGUGAAGUUGAGUAAGACUCAAAACCCGACCAUGGCAGAAAAUAGAAAAGAAUGAACAGUCAUUCCCUAUGCCUCAGUCGUAGGUUCUAUAAAGUAUGCUAUGCUGUGUACUAGACCUAUUGUAUACCUUGCUCUGAGUUUGGCAAAGGAAUACAAUUUUGAUCUAAAAGUAGAUCACUAGAACAGCGGUCAAGAAUAUCCUUAGUGAGGACUAAGGAGAUGUUUCUCGAUUAUGGAGGUGAUAGAAGAGCCAGUCGUAAAAAGUUACAACGAUGCAAGCUUUUACACCAAUCCAGAUGACUCUAAGUCUCAAUCUGGAUACAUAUUGAAAGUGGGAGCAAUUAGCUAGAGUAGCUCCGUGCAGAGCAUUGUGGACAUAGAAUAUUUGCAAAAUACAUACGGCUCUGAAUGUGACAGACCCGUUGACUAAACUUCUCUCAUGAGCAAAACAUGAUCAUACCUUAGUAGUCUUUGGGUGUUAAUCACAUAGCCAUGUGAACUAGAUUAUUGACUCUAGUAAACCCUUUGGGCGUUGAUCACAUAACGAUGUGAACUAUGGGUAUUAAUCACAUACAGAUGUGAAUAUUGGUGUUAAAUCACAUGGUGAUGUGAACUAGAUUAUUGACUCUAGUGCAAGUGGGAGACUGAAGGAAAUAUGCCCUAGAGGCAAUAAUAAAGUUAUUAUUUAUUUCCUUAUUUCAUGAUAAAUGUUUAUUAUUCAUGCUAGAAUUGUAUUAACCGGAAACAUAAUACAUGUGUGAAUACAUAGACAAACAUAGUGUCACUAGUAUGCCUCUACUUGACUAACUCGUGAAUAAGAUGGUUAAGUUUCCUAGCCAUGGACAAAAGCGUUGUCAUUUGAUUAACGGGAUCACAUCAUUAGGAGAAUGAUGUGAUUGACUUGACCCAUUCCGUUAGCUUAGCACACGAUCGUUUAGUAUGUUGCUACUGCUUUCUUCAUGACUUAUACAUGUUCCUGUGACUAUGAGAUUAUGCAACUCCCGUUUACCAGAGGAACACUUUGUGUGCUACCAAACGUCACAACGUAACUGGGUGAUUAUAAAGGUGCUCUACAGGUGUCUCCGAAGGUACAUGUUGGGUUGGCGUAUUUUGAGAUUAGGUUUUGUCACUUCGAUUGUCGGAGAGGUAUCUCUGGGCCCUCUCGGUAAUACACAUCACUUAAAGCUUUGCAAGCGUUGCAACUAAUGAGUUAGUUGUGGGAUGAUGUAUUACGGAACGAGUAAAGAGACUUGUCGGUAACAAGAUUGAACUAGGUAUUGGAUACCGACGAUCGAAUCUCGGGCAAGUAACAUACCGAUGACAAAGGGAACAACGUAUGUUGUUAUGCGGUUUGACCGAUAAAGAUCUUCGUGGAAUAUGUAGGAACCAAUAUGGACAUCCAGGUUCCGCUAUUGGUUAUUGACCGAGAAUAGUUCUAGGUCAUGUCUACAUAGUUCUCGAACCUGUAGGGUCCGCACGCUUAAGGUUUCGAUGACAGUUAUAUUAUGAGUUUAUGAGUUUUGAUGUACCGAAGGAGUUCGGAGUCCCGUAUGAGAUCGGGGACAUGACGAGGAGUCUCAAAAUGGUCGAGACGUAAAGAUUGAUAUAUUGGACGACUAUAUUCGGAGUUCGGAAAGGUUCCGAGUGAUUCCGGUAUUUUUCGGAGUACCGGAGAGUUACGGGAAUUCGCCGGGGAGUAUAUGGGCCUUAUUGGGCCAUACGGGAAUAGAGGAGAGAGGCCGAAAGGAAGGAGGCGCACAGCCCCCCUCUGGUCCGAAUUGGACAAGGGGUGCGGCCCCCCUUUCCUUCCUCCUCUCCCCCUCUUUCCCCCUUCUCCUACUCCAACAAGGGAAGGUGGAAUCCUACUAGGACUAGGGAGUCCUAGUAGGACUCCACACUUGGCGCGCCCCCUCCUAGGGCCGGCCACCUCCCCCCUUGCUCCUUUAUAUACGGGGGCAAGGGGGCACCCCAUGACACACAAGUUGAUCUACGGAUCGUUCCUUAGCCGUGUGCGGUGCCCCCUUCCACCAUAUUCCACCUCGGUCAUAUUGUCACGGAGUUUAGGCGAAGCCCUGCGCCGGUAGAACAUCAUCAUCGUCACCACGCCGUCGUGCUGACGGAACUCAUCCCCGACGCUUUGCUGGAUUGGAGCCCGGGGAACGUCAUCAAGCUGAAUGUGUGCUGAACACGGAGGUGCCGUACGUUCGAUGCUUGGAUCGGUCGAGUCGUGAAGACGUACGACUACAUCAACCGCGUUGUGAUAACGCUUCCGCUUACGGUCUACGAGGGUACGUGGACAAUACUCUCCUCUCUCGUUGCUAUGCCAUCACCAUGAUCUUGCAUGUGCGUAGGAAUUUUUUUGAAAUUACUACGUUACCCAACAGUCGAAAUAUUGUCAAACCUUGUGAACAUGCUAAAAUGGUCUAUUUAUUCAUCUAGACAAAAUGUCACAAGUUGGAGAGAAUGAUAUCUUGAUCAAAGUGCCCCAAAACCCUCUCUGUACAGAACCAAAUUUGAAUAACUUUACAUUGGCAACUUUCUCCUUUUGAUCUCAACUUCUAUGGACAUGUUCAAAACCUCAAAUGAUGACACUAAACUAAGUGGUGCAUCAAGGAGAAUAGCUUUGCAUGACUAAAUCUUGAAAAGUCCAUUUCUGUUGAUUUCUAGGGUUUACAAAAGUUGCAUUGGCAACUUUGCACAAAUAGACUCAAUCUUGGUGGAACCACUUGUUUUCUUAUGCCAUUUGGCCCUGUCAAGCCUUAUGGCAAGAGGAGUUCAUCUGCUUGCCCAAAUCAACAACAAACACCUUCUGCCAUUUUUCUAAAAACAGUAAUUUGACCACUUCCACUAAUCUCCAUGAGUUCACCUUUUUACCACCACCCCUCCUAGUUCCCCUCUAUCUCUGGUGUGCUUCUCGGCUCGAGAGGCAAUGAUGAAGGGGGGCAGGGAUCCACUUUUCUUCUCUGGACAACACCAUUUCCACUCUCUCUCAACUCCCUCUCCCCUCAAGUGGAUCCCCAGGGCAUCCAAUGCCAUUGCCACAUUGUUUACUCCCCACUUCCGCUGCCAGACGCAAGUGGACACAGCACAGCACGCAAAACACGAUCAUGCCGGCCAAAAGCCUGCUCUGGGGCGCGCUACAGUGGCGUCCGAGCCUUGCCACCGCGCUCUCGUCCACCUCGGGCCGCCCAAGCGCGCCAGUCGACGCGCCUCGGCAUUCGCAUCACGCCAGCGGGCCUCCAACUUGUCCCCGCGCCCUCCUCUCGCCCCUGCAACGCGUGCUCGAGUGCCGCCUGCGUCCGCCAGUGGCUGCUCGCGUCCCUGGCCCGCCUCGCGCUCGCUCCUCUCUUCCUCUCUCCUUCCCUUGACCUGGACCACGCCCACGAGCACCUCAGACAUGCCCCAAAGCGCCCAUUUGGCCCCUGGCAACGCCCCGGGCUGUGGCCGUGCACCCCGCCUACGGCACCUCCCGGUCGCGCUUGUAUAGGGCCACCCCCGAGCCUUCUCUUGUCUCCAACUGCUCUCUCUCCCUCUCACGCAUCCUCUGACCGACCCACUGCUCUUCCCUUGCUGUCCUUGCACCUCCAUGGCCGGAGCAGUGCCGCCGGCCGCCGCUUAAAUUCUUGGGCCUCGACCCCUCUCUCUUCCCCAUGAACACUCCCGCACCCUCUCAUCACCACCGCCAACUCACCUGGUGCUCCAUCUCCUCCUCCUCGUGCCUUCCUCGCCGUGUCGAACCCCGCCAUCACCUGUUCCUGUCGCGGACGAGAACUCGCUUGCUCUGGCGCUCCCCGGCGGAAACUAGGUCCCCAGGUGGACGCGGCCCAUCCUCCCGAGCUCGCCGGUGUCCGAGCAGUCGCCGGAGGUGGCCGGAGCCACCGGAAUGACGCCGGCAAGCGCUCGGCCCUGCCUCCUCUGCCUCCUCCGUCACGUGCGGGAGGAGGGAGACGACCCUGCGGGUGGACCCCGCAGGUCAGUGACCCCGUCAGCGGGCCCCUCCGUUUAAGUGGAGACACACUUGGAAAAUACACCUCCGGCAUGGACCCUGCGCGCGUGCGGCUGAACCGAUGGGCCGGCCCAGUUGCGCCUCGGCGCUAAACCCCGCCCGGUGCGCGCUGCCGCCGAUAGAUUUGGCCCAUUUAGGUAAAUCCUUUUUCUUUUUCUUUUUCUGUGGACUGGUAAAAUCCAUAGAAUAUUCAAAAUAACUCAAAACUUGAUGAUUCAAAUUUCUAGUAGUUCAUAAAAUCAGGCCCUAUAACAUGGUGCUAUUCACCACCUUUUCUAGAAACAUUUCCUUCACAAAUAUUUAUCAAAUCCCCUUUUUAUAAUUUCUGUGAUGAACUUUAGAAAAUCAUAGAGAGCUCAUAUUUGGUCCAAAUGCCAUGAUUCCAAUUUCUAGAUACGUAUAAGUUCAUAAUUUAGGUUAUGAACAUUUUUCUUAAUACUUUAUGUGCCCCACAAAAUAAUGAACCAUUUCUUCAUGAUUGUCAACUUUGCAAAUCCAUAGGAUAUUCAUUUGGACUCCAAAUCCAAUGAAACCAAAUCCUAGAUGCUUCUAAAAUCAUCCUUUGUUAAAUGGGUAUUGUCGGUGUUAAAACCGGCGGAUCUCGGGUAGGGGGUCCCGAGCUGUGCGUCUUAGGAUAAAUGGUAACAUGAGACAAGGGACACGAUGUUUUUACCCAGGUUCGGGCCCUCUUGAUGGAGGUAAAUCCCUACGUCCUGCUCGAUUAAUAUUGAUGAUGUGUAUUACAAGAGUGGAUCUACCACGAGAUCAAGGAGGCUAAACCCUAGAAGCUAGCCUAUGGUAUGAUUGUUGUUGUAUAUGUCCUCUAUCGACUAGCCUGGCCCCAGUUUAUAUAAUGCACCAGAGGCCUAGGAUAACAAGAGUCCUAGCCGAAUACGCCGAUGGGGGAGGAGUCCUUGUCUUGAUCGCCAAGUCUUGUUGAUUCUUCCUUGUAUGCGGCAGCUGUCCGGACUGGCCCAUGAGUAUACGACCAUGGGGGUCCUCGGCCCAAUCCAACUGAUCGGGAGACGACGUGGUGAGUACCCCCUAGUCCAGGACACCGUCAGUAGCCCCCUGAACCGGUCUUCAAGUUAGGGACGCUCCUCGAUUCUUCCGAACUGUUCUUUGCCGGUCUUGAAAACUGGUUCAACAAAUCUUCUCAUCUUCAAUCUUGAGGAUCGCCGAAAUGCAUUCGACGAGUUUAUACGUCGGGUAUCCGAGGAGCCCCUUUAAGUUUCCGGCCUUUAUCAAUGCCUUGUUAUUUUUAUGCCACACCUCGGGUUUGAAGUUGUUUCCGGGCGGCAACGUCCUCUCGCGUCCGAGCUCCAUCGCCGGACUACAUUCGAGGUAUCUUUCGCAGCCGAGCACCAACGCCGGACUGCUUCCCAGCUCCAUCGCCGGACUAUGUAUCCGAGCUCCAACGCCGGACGAUAUCCGAGCUCCAACGCCGGACUAUGUAUCCGAGGUGUUGUAAAUCACCUUGGUUCAAACAAGUUUGAAGGAGUUUAGCCGAGCUUAAUGCCGGAAAUGCCCUCUAUGGAGCUAGCCACUAGCGCCCGAGCUUUAUGCCGGACUGCUUCCGAGGUGGUUAAGCACCUCGGUCAUGGGCUGAUUUUUGGUUAAUGUUUUUUAUUGAUGCAAUUUAUUCUCUGACGAGAUAUAUAGCCAGUAGCCCUCAAGGUGGGUAUCGGUCUAAAACCCGAGAUGCACAUGAAGGAUGACAUAAGACCGCUGAUCCCCGUAGCCGCUGAGACUCAGGUUGAUUUGCAAAAUCGGUCUGAGGAUCAAGUCCUAGCUCGGCAGAAUACUUCAGGAUACAAAAAGCGGCGUGCUCAGUCCUCAAGACUCGGGUUGGGUGCGGCCGACCAACCUGAGGAUCAAAAUCUCCUCGGAAACUGUAUUGCACUUAAAAUUUUCUGCAUAGAACAGGCAAUGCAGUAGCCCCCGAAACACUGGUCGGGUGGCAACACCAGAUUAGGGGAUCGAUGUGCCCCUUUAAUAUUUGUAAAUAAUAAGCCCGAAGCCCAGUAGCCCCCGAGCCUUAAUACGGGCACGGGAGGCCGAAUUAAGGAUCGAUAUCCAUAGUAAAAUCACAAAUUAUGUGUAAUGACUCUAUGUAUCCAAGUACUUUACGUCAUUAAUGCUUGGAUCCGCAUUGUACAAAACUUUGUUGACCGACCAUCGGCUUCCACCUCCUCGGCUAAUAGCCGAGGAGUGUUUGUCCUACUUUAUAAAGCCUUUAUGAGGGCAAACAUUUACAACAAACAAGGCAAUCUGGCCAUACGGUUUUAUAAACAAAGGUACGCGGAGAGACAUGUUAUAUUACUGUUUAACAGAAGAAAUGUCUUCCAGAGAAAAUAGUCCCGCUAUCGGUUCCUUUCUUUGGGUUGUCAUGCUAAGCAUGAUCAUGAAACCUCUGCUCCAAUGUAAGAGCAAAAUAUCGAGGAUUUAGUUUGGGAGGCCAGUUAAUAGCCCCCGAUAGUGUUCGGCGACAGUCGAGGUCAAGCCGGAAACACUUCGGCCCAUGAAUGGCCCGUCAUUUAAUAUAGUCAUUGCAUCGCUGACCAGUUUACACCUAUUGUGACAGUCAGUUUUCGGCUUUCUCCACUGAGGUGCUUGACCAUACGAGCUGGAAGCACAAUCGCAGUGGUUCUCCCUUUGCACAGCUAGCCGAACAAAGCGGAACGUAGGAGGCAAGCGCGGGAGCCGGGCAACCCAACUAUUGACCGAAGACACAAUUCAAAACUGAUGCAUAUAUAGCAAUAUCCGAGAAUGUUUUUGCCGAAUCUCAAAAGGUGUUCGGCGUUGCACUGCGAGACUUGUGCUGAAAACACACAAAUAUUUUAAAAGUGCCAUGAGCUCGAAAAGCCAAAAAACUGUAACGCCCCGAGACCGAUGUGCCAGGUGUCGUUCAGUUAUUCGUUGUUGUUGUCUUGUCAUUGGCUUGCGUGUUGCAUUUCAUCAUGUCAUCAUGUGCAUUGCAUCAUCGUGUUUUCAAAACUUGCAUCCGUCCCGGUCUCCUCGUUCCGUCCGUUGUCCGUUCUGAGCCCAGACACACUUGCACGCGCCCGCGGCAUGUCCGAAAUAUUAUUUUAUAAGUGGCCGGAAAAUGUUCUCAGAUUGGGUUGAAAUUUGGUGUGUGGUCUUAUUAUAGUGUAGACAGACCGCCUGUCCAGUUUCAUCGCAAUCGGAGUUCGUUUGACGCCCUAACGGAUAAAUAUAGCGGCAAUAGUAGCCGGUCAAAACGUCGGACGUUUUCGGUCUCCGGAAACAGUCGCCGGGCCUCCCUCUCUUCUCUUCUCUCAGCCCGAGACCGUCUGCACAACUCACUACCUCUCAUCACCAGGCCCUACCUAACCUCUCUCGUCAGCCUGCGACCCUCCUCGCGCGCGCCCGAAAGUUGUCCCGGACCCGAACCGAGCUGCCGCCACCGUUGCAUUCAGAUCAUCCCCUAACGUCUACAAAACAUCUCCGUUUUGUUAUUUGGGCUCCCUAACUAUUUUAUUCGCGACCGUCCGAUUUUAAUCGAAGGGACCAAAUGACCCUAAGCCUACCCCACUUGCUAUAUAAAUAGAUCAACCCUAAAACCUAGGCCGGCUGUCCCAUCCCCAUCCUCCCGCCGCCACUCCUCUCCCUCGGGAUCCUCCUAGAUUCCCUUCGCUCCAACCAGCCAUCACCGAAACUUCCAAAUCCAUCCCUGCUCGAUCUCGUCGGGAUCGAGGCUCUCUCCCGUCAGCCGUGCUCCUUCCCGAGCAGCGCACCCCGACGCCUCCUAGUCCCCGCAGCCGCGCAAGCACCCAUGGAGGCGUGCAUCCUCAAGCCCGUGCUCCUGCUCGACUCCACCGAGCGCAGCCGCCUCCCUGCCCGAUCCACCCAUGGAUCCAUCCGGCCUCGUCGUUCCCCAGCCUCACCCGCAUCAGGGUCCACCGGAUCCUGGCCAUGCCCUCGCCGGAGAACACCGUCGCGCGCCUGGUUCCGCUCGCCGUCGUCCUUCAUCCCGCAGCGCCCGAGCCCCCGUGCCAUGCUCCUCCUCCUGCCCCGCCGUGUCGUCGCCAUGGCCUACAGCUCGCCUCCGCCCUGUUCCCGGACGGACCCAUCCGUUCCGUACCCCUCCGGCCUCGCCUUCUGCCGUGGAGACCCCCCCGUCGGGCUCUGCUUCGCCACACCGCCGCACGCAGACCCCUCUGCUCAUCCAUGGCGCCCCUUGCCUCGUCCCGGUCCGGUGGAUCCGGCGCCCUCCUUCCCGCGUGGCACUGCGCCAGCCAAGCCCCGAACCUCGCCGGGAUCCCGCGCCGUUCUUGUCCCUCGCCGGAGCCAGAUGCAGCUCCGCCCCCGUCACCGUUUGCCUCGCCGCCCUUUCGCCUCGCUCGCCGGAGCUCUGCACCAGGAGCCGCCCGCAGCUCUGCAUUGAGCAGAGGACGAGCAGCUCGCCCGCUCGCCCCGUUGACCGCGCCAGUCCCGCGACCGCACGCGCCUGGGCCUCCUCUGCUUCGGCCCAGCCGCUCCCCUGCACCGCGCUAGGCCCAGCCGCGCAGAUCCGUCGCCCUGCCUUCCCUAUCCUCCGAUCGGGCCAAGGCCCAAGGGUGAGCAGACCCCAGCGCCCCUCCUCUGUUUUUUUUUCUACUGUUGGGCCAAGCAGAUUCAGCCCGUGUGUAUUUUUUUUCCCUGACCUGCGAUUUUAGCUUUAUCCAGUGAUUAACAGUUUUACAGAAAAACCCCUUAGCAUCAUGCAUUUAAUAACUCACAAACUGUGCAUCGGAUUAAAAUGUUUUAAACAUGCAAACUGCUUAGAAUUUUGUGUAGAUUAAUAUUCUGCCACUUUCAUCCAUGUUUAAAAAUGUUAAAAAUGCUGUUUGUUUAAUUUUGCUCAAAUGCCAUGUUAAAAUGCUUUAUUUCAUAACUAAAUAACCGUAGCUCCGAUUUAAAUAAACUUUAUAUGUAAAUGGGGUAGAAUUUUGCCUAGUUUAACAUGGUGGCCUUACUUUGCAUGUUUAACAACCCUAAAAUCGUGUUUAGGGCAGAACAGGACCAAACCUAAUUUAUGCUCAUGAGGAGUUUCCGGAAUUGUUGUUCGUUGCUUCCGGCCUCAUUUAAACUUGACUAGAUAGGUAGUUUGACUUUGCUUCACCCUCUUGCCAUGUUAAUCAACAUUUAAUAUUGUUGGGGUACAUAAACGAGAUCAAACUAAAUAACUUGUUGUGGUGUUUCGUCAAUAUGCAACUCGUUGCAUAUUGAUCUCCACUUAAUUUGUAGAACUGCUUGUGCACUUGCCAUGCCAUGCCUCAUUAAACCGGACAUGCAUCAUACUCGUUUGUGCAUCAUGCCAUGUUGUUGUGGUGGUUGUUUACUAUGUUGUGUGCUUCUUUUCCGGUGAUUGCUUCUUCGGGUUGGUUCCGAUAACGUCGAGGUUGUGAGGAUCCAUUCGUCUACGUCCAUUUGUCUUCUUCAUGGACUCGUUCUUCUUCCUUGCGGGAUUUCAGGCAAGAUGAUCAUACCCUCGAAAUCACUACUAUCUUUGCUAUGCUAGUUUGCUCGCUCUUUUGCUAUGCCAUUGCUACGAUGCCUACCACUUGCUUGUCAGCCACCCAAAUUGCCAUGUCAAACCUCUAACCCACCAUGUCCUAGCAAACCGUUGAUUGGCUAUGUUACCGCUUUGCUCAACCCCUCUUAUAGCGUUGUUAGUUGCAGGUGAAGAUCGAAGUUUGUUCCUUGUUGGAACAUGGAGAUGUUGUUCCUUGUUGGAACAUGUUUACUUGUUGGGAUAUCAUAAUAUAUCUUACUUAAUUAAUGCAUCUAUAUACUUGGUAAAGGGUGGAAGGCUCGGCCUUAUGCCUGGUGUUUUGUUCCACUCUUGCCGCCCUAGUUUCCGUCAUAUCGGUGUUAUGUUCCCGGAUUUUGCGUCCCUUACGCGGUUGGGCUAUAAUGGGAACCCCUUGACAGUUCGCCUUAAGUAAAGCUUCUCCAGCAAUGCCCAACAUUGGUUUUACCAUUUGCCACCUAGCCUUUUCUUUUCCCUUGGGAGUCGCGCUCCUGAGGGUCAUCAUUAUUUUACCCCCCCCCCGGGCCAGUGCUCCUCUGAGUGUUGGUCCAACUGUCAGCUACCGGUGACCACCAGGGGCAACUCUGGGUUGGCCUACCCGUACCUAAGACAAUCUGAGUGUGCCCUGAGAAAGAGAUAUGUGCAGCUCCUAUCGGGAUUUGUCGGCACAUUCGGGCGGUGUUGCUGGUUUAGUUUUACCCUGUCGAAAUGUCUUGUUGUACCGGGAUACCGAGUCUGAUCGGAGUGUCUCGGGUGGAGGUCUAUUCCUUCGUUGACCGUGAGAGCUUGUCAUGGGCUAAGUUGGGACACCCCUGCAGGGAUUUGAACUUUCGAAAGCCGUGCCCGCGGUUAUGGGCAGAUGGGAAUUUGUUAACGCCCGGUUGUAGAAAACCCGAAGUUGACCUUAAUUAAAAUACAUCAACCGCGUGUGUAACCGUGAUGGUCUCUUUCCGGCGGAGUCCAGGAAGUGAACACGGUGUUGGAGUUAUGCUUGACGUAGGUAGUCCAGGAUCACUUCUUGAUCAUACCUUUAUCGACCGUGCUUUGCCUUCUCUUCUCGCUCUCAUUUGCGUAUGUUAGCCACCAUAUAUGCUAGUCGCUUGCUGCAGCUCCACCUCAUACCUUUACCUUACCCAUAAGCUUAAAUAGUAUUGAUCUCGCGGGUGCGAGAUUGCUGAGUCCCCGUGGCUCACAGAUACUUCCAAAACCAGCUUGCAGGUGCCGUUGAGUCCGUGUAGAUGACGCAACCAAGCUCAAGGAGGAGCUCGAUGAAGAUCUUGUCCUUUAUGUCGUUUCGUGUUAGUUGAUCAGUAGUGGAGCCCAGUUGGGGUCGAUCGGGGACCUUUGUCGCAUUUGGGGUUCUUCUUUUAUUUAGGCUCCAUAGUCGGGCCCUGAUUGUAUUUGGUUGUUGUAAUGCUUUAUUCAUGUAUUUGUGUGAAGUGGCGAUUGUAAGCCACCUAUGUAUCUCUUUCCCAUAUGUAUUACAUGGGUUGUGUGAAGAUUACCUCACUUGCGACAUUGCUUUCAAUGCGGUUAUGCCUCUAAGUCGUGCUUCGACACGUGGGAGAUAUAGCCGCAUCGAGGGCGUUACAAGUUGGUAAUCAGAGCCUUCCCCGACCUUAGGAGCCCCAUUGCUUGAUCGUUUUUAGUGGCCGAGUUGUGUCUAGAAAAAUGUUUUGAGUCAUUUAGGAAUUAUAUAUCGGAGAGUUUAGGAAUUCUUUUUACUCCUCAGUCCCUUCGUCACUCUUGCAAGGCAUCCUGACGUAGAGUUUUGACUCUUCUCUUCUCAAAUUUCACUAAAAUUUUUUUUUUAGGAUCACGCGGGUAUCUUGGAAUCGUUCCGAUGGUUUUAUGAUGAGAACAUUGUCUUGGUGCCUCCUGUCAGGGGUUUAGUGGAAGUGUCCCGGGGAGUUGAGCUCUGAGGUGUUGUCGUCAUAAUUUUAUCGUUGCAGUUCUGGAAUACCUGAGUUUAGUACGCCGACAUCGAAAAUCUCUUUUAUGCAGUUGUUGGUGAGAUAACCCCGAUAACCCAGUACUGAGGUGAGUACGGGAGUAUCGCCAUAACUUGUAUAACGGAUGCUUUUCGAAGGUUGAGGUAGAUGAUUUCCGAAGGUUUCUUGGUUAUGUGUUGAAGGAUGGAUACAGCUGGAUGUAGGAUUUGCUAGUUUGGGUGAGAUAUUAUGCUUCCCCUGUAUCCCCAACACCUGAUUGCAUAACCAGAAAAUUUCGGGAGUUUCAUAGGUGGGAAUUCAAGUAGCUCUUAGGAUAUCUUUCCGACGGAUGUAUGAUAUGAAAUUGGGGUUCGACGUCUAGUGGUCCGCCUAUUCACGGUCGAUUUUACAGUGGUCUCGUUGUGUCUUAAAGAGUCCUUGGCUAUGCCGACUCGCGGACGCUUCGUAUGUCAUGUGCACUGCCUUGUACAUGAUGGUGUUGUAUGAUCGAGCCCGUGUAGGCCCCACCACGAAAACUUCGUCUAUCAUAUGUUUGUUCCGGCUUAUUCUGCAAGCCAGUCCUUUGUUUUUGUUUUGAGUUGUGGUAUUCGAGUUGCUUCAAUGUCAAGUGUUGAUUCCAUACCUUUCCGAAAUGGUGUUCUCAUACUCCGAUGUGAAUACCAAUCCUUCUCGACAAUCGAGAUUGUCAUGUCAAUCCUUUUCAACCAGCGUCUUUCUCUUCAAGUGGAUCCGAUCAUUUCAACAUUUGCAAGAUCAUUUAUCACUUCUUCUCAACGGUGUUUGUUUCAUCCGUCCCAAGUUGUUUUUGUUUUCCCGCCCUCCCACCCCUUUUUCUUCAAGGACUCGGAUUUCUUAAUCGAGUAUCCAUUUUAUUGAUGGGAAGUUUCUCCAUUCUUUUCCGUCAAUGUUCUUAUCCGGUGAUUCUCAUGAAGAUUCUAAUGGAGCUUCAAGUUUGUCAUUCCUCGUUCUUUUCUUCUCCGGUGGAUUUAAUUCAAGCUUUGGUAUUAAGCAUACUCCUUUUCUUUUUUUUUCCAAUGCUUUUCUUAUGCCGGUGCACCUCUUAAUCAUCCAUCUCUCGCUAUUAAAUUGUUCCGGAGUGCUCAAGAUAUCUCGAAGAUUCGUGUUUCCACUCUGCAUUCGUUCAAGAUCUUUCGAGGAUGUUCUCUCAUUCAAGUCUUUUAUUUCAACCGGUGCAUUAUCUCUCUUCAAAUUGUCCAACGGUGUUUCUUUUGAGUGGACCCUAACCCACAGGUCUUUUCCCAGGAUCUUACCUGACUCUUCUAUUUUCCCAGAGCUAUCCUAAAUUCUUCUCCAAGUUUGACGUAAGAACGAGUUAUCAUCAGUCAAAUGCUUUUCUCCAAGAUCUUUCAAAUUCUUUUCAUAGUUGGCUCAACCUCUUCGCUUUUGAUUCUUCCGGUGUGCCUCAAUAAUUCUUGGUGGUGUUUCUCGUUGUCAUUCUCAUCAUUUUGAAGACCGAAGAAGAGUUUCUCUUUAAUCUUGCUCUAUUCUCUUCAAGAUUCUUGGUGCUAGCUUGAUGCCAUCCUCUCAUAGUUGUUUUCGAUUGUCAGAAUUCUUUUCACUCAUCCGGAGUAAUUCAGAGUAUUUUCUGUCAGAUUAUCCGGAGCCCAUCGUCUAAGUUUGACUCAGUCCAGCUUUCAGCUCGCAUACUCUAAAUCAUACUGGUGCUUCGUUCAAGUGAUCUUUAAUCGGCUCGUGAUCUCGUCGUUCUCAUGUAUCUAAAUCCUCUCAAGCAUCUUCGUGUAUUUGCUAAUUCUUCCCGGUGUCUUCCUUAUCUUUUCUUUGUUCAUUUUUAAUUCUUACGGUGGUUCUUUCAAGAUCUCUCUUCCUUGUUCAUCAUAUCAAUUCAUUUGUUGCUCCAAUCCUACCGGUGGUUCGUUGAAGACCUUCUCAAGUUUUGAUAUAUCUCUUUUAAUCCUUUCUACGAGAAUAAGUAGUAUGCCAAAUCCGUUGAUUGUCGUCAAUUUAAUUGGUGAAGGAUAAGCAUAACAUAAUUCUUAUUCUUGUUCAUCCAAGUGAUUAAUUCUUUAUUCCGGAGGCCCUUAAAAUUCUCGGUUUCAUUUGUUUCAUCUUCUCUUUUUCCCGGAGUUCCAAGCUCUAAUUAUCACGGAGAUCCAUCUAAAUCAUUGCAAGGAUUCACCUUGUGUUUUCAAUUUCUCUUUCUUUUCAUUCCUUUUGUUUACCGGAGUUCUUCAUGGAGGUUCUACAUGAUGGUUCAUCAAGGAUUUAAUUCCCUUCUCAAAGUUUUCAUCGAGAUUCUUUCCUAAGGAGCUCAAGCUUUCUUCAUAUGGUAAUUCGGAGUGCAAUUCUUUCUACCUUAUCUUUUGAGGUGGUAUUAUGUCAUUCUUGAUAAUUUCCCUUCGUGCUUCGUGUUUCAUAAGUUAUCAAGUAUGAGUUAUUUUUAAAUCCAUCAAUCUCGUCAUUGGAGUUAUCUUGGAUUAUAUUUCACCUUAAGCCUUUCCUAAGGAUUGUUGCCAUUUAUGGUGCUUGUAAAUGAUCCAAGUACUUCAUUUAUCCUCCCGGUGAAAUACGUUUCUCGUCUCCUCGUUCAUAUCAAUCCAAUUCUUCUUCCCGUGAGUGGCAGGUUGUCAUCUCAUAAUUUGAGAUGUAUUUCAUAAGACCAUAUCAAGAUUAUUCUUUUCAUUGUUGGUUUUCAACAACUCCAUUCUAGCAUUUGUUGUAUCUGUGAUCUCUCAAGAUCUUGUUUCCCUUCGUUCCGGAGUCAUUGUGAUGUUGCUCUUUUCAACCCAUCACAUCGUUUUGUCAAGAUCAUGUUAUUUUCUUGCUUAUCCAUUUAACCGGUGUGUUCUCAUUCAAGUUCUUUUAUCUUAUCAAGUUUUGCCUCUCUUUCAACCGGACCGCUGUCUGAAAUCCUUCUUACCCUUUGUGACAUUCUUUCAAUAGUUCCGGAGGCAGUGUGUUGUUGAUUUCAUCAAGUAUCAUCCCAUCUUCUCAAGUUCAUGUUCAAUUCCUUCCAUGUUCAACCGGAGUGCUGCCCGAAUUCUUCCCCUCUCAUUUUGUUUUAACCGGAGUGGUUUCGAAUUCUAUCUUGUCCAUUAAACUCUUGGUUCGUGUCUUUGCAACCUUCAAGUCCUCGUAAUGUUCCUUGUUCCUUUUUUCUAACGGAUUGUUUGCAAUCUCGUUCAUCUCUGUUGUACUCUUUCUUUUAAAUUGCUCAACCUCUCAAGGUUCAUGGUUUCACUCGUUGGGCAAAGAAGCAACUUAGUUUUACCUCUCCUCUCUUUCUCUUCCGUUGUCCCUCCGGUGCCAUUCUAGAUCUCGGGACGAGAUCCUCUCAUAGUGGUGGAGUGUUGUAACGCCCCGAGACCGAUGUGCCAGGUGUCGUUCAGUUAUUCGUUGUUGUUGUCUUGUCAUUGGCUUGCGUGUUGCAUUUCAUCAUGUCAUCAUGUGCAUUGCAUCAUCGUGUUUUCAAAACUUGCAUCCGUCCCGGUCUCCUCGUUCCGUCCGUUGUCCGUUCUGAGCCCAGACACACUUGCACGCGCCCGCGGCAUGUCCGAAAUAUUAUUUUAUAAGUGGCCGGAAAAUGUUCUCAGAUUGGGUUGAAAUUUGGUGUGUGGUCUUAUUAUAGUGUAGACAGACCGCCUGUCCAGUUUCAUCGCAAUUGGAGUUCGUUUGACGCCCUAACGGAUAAAUAUAGCGGCAAUAGUAGCCGGUCAAAACGUCGGACGUUUUCGGUCUCCGGAAACAGUCGCCGAGCCUCCCUCUCUUCUCUUCUCUCAGCCCGAGACCGUCUGCACAACUCACUACCUCUCAUCACCAGGCCCUACCUAACCUCUCUCGUCAGCCUGCGACCCUCCUCGCGCGCGCCCGAAAGUUGUCCCGGACCCGAACCGAGCUGUCGCCACCGUUGCAUUCAGAUCAUCCCCUAACGUCUACAAAACAUCUCCGUUUUGUUAUUUGGGCUCCCUAACUAUUUUAUUCGCGACCGUCCAAUUUUAAUCGAAGGGACCAAAUGACCCUAAGCCUACCCCACUUGCUAUAUAAAUAGAUCAACCCUAAAACCUAGGCCGGCUGUCCCAUCCCCAUCCUCCCGCCGCCACUCCUCUCCCUCGGGAUCCUCCUAGAUUCCCUUCGCUCCAACCAGCCAUCACCGAAACUUCCAAAUCCAUCCCUGCUCGAUCUCGUCGGGAUCGAGGCUCUCUCCCGUCAGCCGUGCUCCUUCCCGAGCAGCGCACCCCGACGCCUCCUAGUCCCCGCAGCCGCGCAAGCACCCAUGGAGGCGUGCAUCCUCAAGCCCGUGCUCCUGCUCGACUCCACCGAGCGCAGCCGCCUCCCUGCCCGAUCCACCCAUGGAUCCAUCCGGCCUCGUCGUUCCCCAGCCUCACCCGCAUCAGGGUCCGCCGGAUCCUGGCCAUGCCCUCGCCGGAGAACACCGUCGCGCGCCUGGUUCCGCUCGCCGUCGUCCUUCAUCCCGCAGCGCCCGAGCCCCCGUGCCAUGCUCCUCCUCCUGCCCCGCCGUGUCGUCGCCAUGGCCUACAGCUCGCCUCCGCCCUGUUCCCGGACGGACCCAUCCGUUCCGUACCCCUCCGGCCUCGCCUUCUGCCGUGGAGACCCCCCCGUCGGGCUCUGCUUCGCCACACCACCGCACGCAGACCCCUCUGCUCAUCCAUGGCGCCCCUUGCCUCGUCCCGGUCCGGUGGAUCCGGCGCCCUCCUUCCCGCGUGGCACUGCGCCAGCCAAGCCCCGAACCUCGCCGGGAUCCCGCGCCGUUCUUGUCCCUCGCCGGAGCCAGAUGCAGCUCCGCCCCCGUCACCGUUUGCCUCGCCGCCCUUUCGCCUCGCUCGCCGGAGCUCUGCACCAGGAGCCGCCCGCAGCUCUGCAUUGAGCAGAGGACGAGCAGCUCGCCCGCUCGCCCCGUUGACCGCGCCAGUCCCGCGACCGCACGUGCCUGGGCCUCCUCUGCUUCGGCCCAGCCGCUCCCCUGCAUCGCGCUAGGCCCAGCCGCGCAGAUCCGUCGCCCUGCCUUCCCUAUCCUCCGAUCGGGCCAAGGCCCAAGGGUGAGCAGACCCCAGCGCCCCUCCUCUGUUUUUUUUUCUACUGUUGGGCCAAGCAGAUUCAGCCCGUGUGUAUUUUUUUCCCUGACCUGCGAUUUUAGCUUUAUCCAGUGAUUAACAGUUUUACAGAAAAACCCCUUAGCAUCAUGCAUUUAAUAACUCACAAACCAUGCAUCGGAUUAAAAUGUUUUAAACAUGCAAACUGCUUAGAAUUUUGUGUAGAUUAAUAUUCUGCCACUUUCAUCCAUGUUUAAAAAUGUUAAAAAUGCUGUUUGUUUAAUUUUGCUCAAAUGCCAUGUUAAAAUGCUUUAUUUCAUAACUAAAUAACCGUAGCUCCGAUUUAAAUAAACUUUAUAUGUAAAUGGGGUAGAAUUUUGCCUAGUUUAACAUGGUGGCCUUACUUUGCAUGUUUAACAACCCUAAAAUCGUGUUUAGGGCAGAACAGGACCAAACCUAAUUUAUGCUCAUGAGGAGUUUCCGGAAUUGUUGUUCGUUGCUUCCGGCCUCAUUUAAACUUGACUAGAUAGGUAGUUUGACUUUGCUUCACCCUCUUGCCAUGUUAAUCAACAUUUAAUAUUGUUGGGGUACAUAAACGAGAUCAAACUAAAUAACUUGUUGUGGUGUUUCGUCAAUAUGCAACUCGUUGCAUAUUGAUCUCCACUUAAUUUGUAGAACUGCUUGUGCACUUGCCAUGCCAUGCCUCAUUAAACCGGACAUGCAUCAUACUCGUUUGUGCAUCAUGCCAUGUUGUUGUGGUGGUUGUUUACUAUGUUGUGUGCUUAUUUUCCGGUGAUUGCUUCUUCGGGUUGGUUCCGAUAACGUCGAGGUUGUGAGGAUCCAUUCGUCUACGUCCGUUUGUCUUCUUCAUGGACUCGUUCUUCUUCCUUGCGGGAUUUCAGGCAAGAUGAUCAUACCCUCGAAAUCACUACUAUCUUUGCUAUGCUAGUUUGCUCGCUCUUUUACUAUGCCAUUGCUACGAUGCCUACCACUUGCUUGUCAGCCACCCAAAUUGCCAUGUCAAACCUCUAACCCACCAUGUCCUAGCAAACCGUUGAUUGGCUAUGUUACCGCUUUGCUCAGCCCCUCUUAUAGCGUUGUUAGUUGCAGGUGAAGAUCGAAGUUUGUUCCUUGUUGGAACAUGGAGAUGUUGUUCCUUGUUGGAACAUGUUUACUUGUUGGGAUAUCACAAUAUAUCUUACUUAAUUAAUGCAUCUAUAUACUUGGUAAAGGGUGGAAGGCUCGGCCUUAUGCCUGGUGUUUUGUUCCACUCUUGCCGCCCUAGUUUCCGUCAUAUCGGUGUUAUGUUCCCGGAUUUUGCGUCCCUUACGCGGUUGGGCUAUAAUGGGAACCCCUUGACAGUUCGCCUUAAGUAAAGCUUCUCCAGCAAUGCCCAACAUUGGUUUUACCAUUUGCCACCUAGCCUUUUCUUUUCCCUUGGGAGUCGCGCUCCUGAGGGUCAUCAUUAUUUUACCCCCCCCGGGCCAGUGCUCCUCUGAGUGUUGGUCCAACUGUCAGCUACCGGUGACCACCAGGGGCAACUCUGGGUUGGCCUACCCGUACCUAAGACAAUCUGAGUGUGCCCUGAGAAAGAGAUAUGUGCAGCUCCUAUCGGGAUUUGUCGGCACAUUCGGGCGGUGUUGCUGGUUUAGUUUUACCCUGUCGAAAUGUCUUGUUGUACCGGGAUACCGAGUCUGAUCGGAGUGUCUCGGGUGGAGGUCUAUUCCUUCGUUGACCGUGAGAGCUUGUCAUGGGCUAAGUUGGGACACCCCUGCAGGGAUUUGAACUUUCGAAAGCUGUGCCCGCGGUUAUGGGCAGAUGGGAAUUUGUUAACGUCCGGUUGUAGAAAACCCGAAGUUGACCUUAAUUAAAAUACAUCAACCGCGUGUGUAACCGUGAUGGUCUCUUUCCGGCGGAGUCCGGGAAGUGAACACGGUGUUGGAGUUAUGCUUGACGUAGGUAGUCCAGGAUCACUUCUUGAUCAUACCUUUAUCGACCGUGCUUUGCCUUCUCUUCUCGCUCUCAUUUGCGUAUGUUAGCCACCAUAUAUGCUAGUCGCUUGCUGCAGCUCCACCUCAUACCUUUACCUUACCCAUAAGCUUAAAUAGUCUUGAUCUCGCGGGUGCGAGAUUGCUGAGUCCCCGUGGCUCACAGAUACUUCCAAAACCAGCUUGCAGGUGCCGUUGAGUCCGUGCAGAUGACGCAACCAAGCUCAAGGAGGAGCUCGAUGAAGAUCUUGUCCUUUAUGUUGUUUCGUGUUAGUUGAUCAGUAGUGGAGCCCAGUUGGGGUCGAUCGGGGACCUUUGUCGCAUUUGGGGUUCUUCUUUUAUUUAGGCUCCGUAGUCGGGCCCUGAUUGUAUUUGGUUGUUGUAAUGCUUUAUUCAUGUAUUUGUGUGAAGUGGCGAUUGUAAGCCAACUAUGUAUCUCUUUCCCAUAUGUAUUACAUGGGUUGUGUGAAGAUUACCUCACUUGCGACAUUGCUUUCAAUGCGGUUAUGCCUCUAAGUCGUGCUUCGACACGUGGGAGAUAUAGCCGCAUCGAGGGCGUUACAAAAACUUAUUCAAAAGAUUAAUGUCCGAACUAGAUCAAGUGUUCGGUGCCAAUCCGAAAAUUGGACUUUAGAAAAAAAGGUGCUUCUGUUGUGCUUUAACAUGACACAUCCUAUCUCAAAACUUCAAGCGGGUCAGCCUACGGCUUCAACCUCCUAUCCCGAAGGUGGAGUACUCCCCGGCUAGCGACCGCACACUUGUGUCGAAAAAAGGAGUGAUAAAUAAUAAAAACUUUGCAACGGCUAGGAAGAGAAACACUUAGUAUGAAACAGCUCAAAUAAACAUAAGAGCCCCAAGUGACUUGGGUAAAAGUUGACUAUAUAAUGUAAGGUGACAUGUAGAAUGCCUUCUAGCUGGAUUGUAGAUUGUUUGUCAUAGCGGACCUUUUCGCUUCAACCUCUGGACCCAAUAGUCCGGAAUGUGUCCGAAUACCCUCGCGGUUAUAAAAACCGGGGCAUGCGUGGAGACCAGGCGUAGGGGUCCUUAGUGCUUUAUCAGACAAGUGCCCAACUAGUUAUGUUAUAUUACAUGGUUAGUAAGAAACAUCUUCCAGGGAGAAUAGUUCCGUUAGGGGUUCCUUUCCCUGGGAGGCAUGCCCUAAAGUGCAUGUCCGGACUGCGAAAAGAGCAGAAAAACAUCUGGGGGUAGGUAAAUAAAUAGGUAAGCAAUCAUCUUUUAGUUCACCGACCGAGUAUUCCCUUAAGAACGCUAGCUUUCGGCUUCACCCAGUCUGAGGUACACAUCCAGCUGACCCGGCAGUAACAAUCGCAGAGGUGCUCCCUUUACCACCUAGCCGAACAAUCGGGAACAUAGGGGUAAGCACAGGAGCCAGGCAACCCAGCUUGGCCAAAACUUAAGUCAUAUCGAUGCAUAUAAUGGUGAAUAAAAGGUACAUGCGGAAGUGUGACACAUGUGUUGGGCAUAAAGCCCGAAUUAAUAAGCUUCUGUUAAAGAAGCUCCCAGGUAUAAUGAGCGCGGGUAGCGCGUCAAGUGUGUGCGAACAAAGUUUUGACAAGGAAGAUUUUUACAAGCAACUUUUUUUUCGAGAAAGUAUAAUGCUUGGUCGAACCGAACACAAGUUAGAAAUUUUAAAACUUUGAGCAUGAAGGCAACUUAGCUGGUUAAUGUGUUCGGUAUUGACGAUGCGGUCCGAGCUUGAUGAGGGACAAGGUUCCAUCCCCCAAGCCGGUCCCGAGGUGGCGGAGCAAAGAGCUCGGCACUGUGAAGUGGUGAUAUAGUAUGGUCAAUGCAGGACGGCAGAGUGAUGCCGAAGUCCCUGGCAUGGGGUAAUGAGGUGUUGACGAAGCCCCCCGUCCAGCCGAGGUGACGUCAAAGGAUAUAGUCCGGCUGGAUCAUUUUCCUGUGCACAAAAAAUAGUGCAAACCAGAGAUAAUAGUAAAAAAAAUCGUUGCAUAAUAAAUAAUUUAUGCAAAGUGAGUAAUAAAAGAAAUAUGGCCUGGCGCCGAAGUCGAUGUCGAUGUAGGUCGUCGGCGUAAUGCAAUAAAGGCGUGGCAAAGCCUGGAUUCACAGACCGGUUCGAGUUCCGGAUGCGGCGUUCGCCGGACUAUGUAUGGAAACUGACCGAACCAUCAUGCGACCGUCGAUAAUGCGGCCACCAUCUGAUAGACCUGUGUACAUAUGAUGGACAAACCAGAGUAAUAUUUCCUUGGGAAAAAUUAACCCAAACUAGCAAAAAGAAAUACUAGGACUAAUAGCACAUGGUUUAUUGGUUGUAGCAAUCCGAAGGAAGGUGAUUCCCAAAAUUGAGACUCGAUCCGUGCACCCAUUGCCUGAUCGGCUAGUGACGCCGAAGUGUUCGGAGUAGGUUGAUGAAGAGAUGGCGAAGCCCCCGGUCCAACCGAGAUGUCGAAGUAGGUCGGCGUGAUGGACACCAGCUUGAAGAAGCAAUAGUGCGGCCCUGCCGAUGCAGGUCGUGACGCGGUUGAUGCCGGCUUGAUGAAGCGACCGCGUGGCGAUGCGGGUAUGCCCGCUCCGUGUAAUCCGUGGGGCGGUGAUGUUGGUGAUGAUUUAUCCUUCGCGAUGCCGGAUUCUUGUUCGGCUUGCCAAGAUGAUGAUCCGAAGAAGUUGAGUUUGGCUCAACAAAGUGACAACGUGUCUAGCGCAGGUCGGUAGCCGUGGAGCAAUAUUGCCGGACUGGUUUGAUACCAGCAUGAUGUUGAAGAUCAUGUUCAAAAGAUCUUAAAGUUAGUGGGAUGUGUUCGGGAACCAAACACAAUACCCCAUACAAAACUUCCUUCAAAAAGGAUGUCCGAAAUCCCGUUCAUAAAAAAGACGAACUCGGGUCGGAUUUUUUUCGCGCAGAAAACAGAUCCAAAAAGUGAUGCACUGAUCGGAAGUUUCCCGGAGUUCGGACGGUCGGAUCGAGCUGAAUUUUUGGCAGGUGGUAGAUAAGGGAAUUCCGCAGCAAAUCAACGGUUGGAUCCUCCAAAGGACAUCCGAGCUAGACGCUGGAUACCACGCCCUAAACUCGUCCGGAUUCUCGUCCAGAUUCAACAGGGCUCCGGUAUAUCGGAGAUCGCCGGAGAUUCCUCCAUCGGAACUCGACGAAAUUUUUGCAGGGUUGUUGUAGACUUAAUUCCUCAUAAUUCCACCGAAGUAAUUGUUUAAGCGACACUCGAGGAGGCGGUGGCGGCGGAUACAAGUUUGCUGUCCAGAAAAACAGCACGGUCGCCUGAGGGCAAUGUUGACGUUGAGCCCCCGGGCUCCAUGGAUGACUCCUCCAUGAUCUUGAUAGAGAUCGGAGUUGAUGUUGACGAAGGCCCUCAUCCGAACAUGACGAUCGGAGGUAGGGUGCAGUCCUUGGUCAAGCCAAGGUGACCAGUCAAACUGGUGACGAAGAAGCCGACGUCGCAGUUGACCUGCAGUCGAGCCAUUGAUCCUUUCGCCGAUCACACAGUGGAACUCUCAAUGAAAGCACCAAUGUCGGUGUCAAAACCGGCGGAUCUCGGGUAGGGGGUCCCGAGCUGUGCGUCUUAGGAUCAAUGGUAACAGGAGACAAGGGACACGAUGUUUUUACCCAGGUUCGGGCCCUCUUGAUGGAGGUAAAACCCUACGUCCUGCUCGAUUAAUAUUGAUGAUGUGUAUUACAAGAGUGGAUCUACCACGAGAUCAAGAAGGCUAAACCCUAGAAGCUAGCCUAUGAUAUGAUUGUUGUUGUAUAUGUCCUCUAUCGACUAGCCUGGCCCCGGUUUAUAUAAUGCACCAGAGGCCUAGGAUAACAAGAGUCCUAGCCGAAUACGCCAAUGGGGGAGGAGUCCUUGUCUUGAUCGCCAAGUCUUGUUGAUUCUUCCUUGUAUGCGGUAGCUGUCCGGACUAGCCCAUGAGUAUACGGCCAUGGGGGUCCUCGGCCCAAUCCAACUGAUCGGGAGACGACAUGGUGAGUACCCCCUAGUCCAGGACACCGUCAGGUAUCUUUUUCAUUUUUUAAAAAUACAUUUCUGUACACUUCUUGCAAAUCUAUAAACCCCUUGAUUCCAUCAUAUCAAAAUGUAUAGAGAUAUCCACUGACCCAAUUCCAAUGAAACCAGUUUGGUUAUUUUUCAUAUAACUAGAGAUGCCCUAGAAAAGUCAAAUCAAUAUUUUUAGAGCAUUUUUAUUUUUUGCCUUGUUGUGUUGCUUACUAUGAUUGUUUCCAACGUUAGUUGACGAAGUAGACAAAAUACUCAGAGACGUACCAGAAGACUAUGAAGACCCAGAAGACCUUGCUGAACCAGGCAAGCAGCCCUUUGACCAUGAUGUACCAUUUUACAUCAUAAUAGCAUUUUUGUUGCUUCACUGAGUGCAUGAUAUACUUUGAAUGGUAACCUUGCUAGGCUUGCCUCCAUUGCAUACUCCAUUGAUACUUGCAUUGAUCAUGACUCUACCCUUGCUUAGAGUUGUGUUGGUGGGUUGUAGAAAUAUGCUAUAGUAGAUGGCUACGCAAUGUGGGUCAGGGUUAUGCAUGGAAAGAAACAAGUGUGGUUUGACAUACUUGCAAACAGCCCCAGUGGGUGCCACUGAUGCCCCUGGGAGAUGAUGAUGAACUAGGUCACUACUUGGUGGAGAAGUAGUGUACCGAGGUUUGAUUAAAGUGUUGUUUACAGAGACGGAUUAGAUUUAAGAUUUGUCGACUUUCCCAACCUUACAUGCGCAACCACUCUACCAUUAUAUGGGAAAGGGCAUUAUUGAUUACCUAGGCCGAUACUAGCUUGGAGCCCGCAUUACUAGUAACGGGAGAGUCGUUGUUGCCCUCUCUUGGGACGGGGUCGUGCCAGGUAGGAUGGCCAUGACUGUUUUCACAGGGCACCGGAUACACCGUUGGUACCCCGUGCUUGUGGUAUGUGAUGAAUAUGGGAGCGAGGCUCCACAAUUUUAAGAUGUGAAAUGUUGGGCACGGGGGUUACUACCAAUCGAGUGGACUCUAUGUUAGUGUCGUCUAGGGAAAGAUAGUGAUCGGCUGCUUACCCCGGGUACUUGAGGUAUCGCAGGUCGUGGAUGACACAAAAGUUCCCCGGAUCUUGUGGGUAAAGUGUGCAACCUCUGCAGAGUGUAAAACUAUUCGAAUAGCUGUGUCGACGGUCAAGGACAGUUGGGUGGUGCUGCUUAGACUAUGUCCAUAUGUUUCUGGAAAACAACACGGUUUGGUAAAUCUAUUGACGUGAUUCAUGAGGAAGUCACGUUGAGCUUGAGCAUGAGUUAUUCAUAACUCCUUCUCUAUGUUGAUGUCUAUAACCUCCUGAUACUUGUUGCAAACACAUUUAUGUCCUUGACAAAUGAUGAUCAUACUUGUAUGAGAAAAACUAGCUUUUCGCAAAGAUGCCAAAUUAGCAGUAGAGCCUUGCAUACUUAUUCUGUUAUCACUCUUGGGUUUCUUGCGAGUACAUUCAAAGAACUUAUUGACUUGCCACUGGUUAUUUUAUUGGCCAGGUAUGAAAGACAAGACAUAUUGAAGAGUUCUUUGGUGACGAUCGUGCGAGUUAGGACGCUCUCCCAGUCAGAAUGCUUGUAGGGUUAAGGCAGAUGGCAUGGGUCCAAGUUAUUGACGAAGAUUUCCGCUGCAAUGUUAUGCUCAAGACUUGACCAUAAUGGUUGUAAUUCAUGUAAGACGGUAUGUAUGGAUGUAAGACUCUUGUUAUUCAGCUUCUGUGUGUUCAGUGAGCAUUGAUCUCUAGGAUUAUUGUACACGUGCAUUCGGUGAUCACGACUUAUGAAUCGGGAUCCCCAUAUUUCAGUUCCAAAGAACACAAAUAUUUAUUUGAGAUAAUUUGCAUGUGUAGCAAUGUAGUUGUAUACAGGGCAUGCAAGUAAGAAACAGAGUAAGUCAGAAUUAUGAACCAAAGGUCCUAUUUAAUUGGUCCAGGUUUGCUUUUUCAUUGUUUUUAUUUCUUUAAUGUAUAUGUGGAGGUAUAACAGUUUCUUAGACCACACAUAUAUAUAGAAAGUUCUUGCCUGUUCUCUGUACACACCUUGAGUGGGCUCUAAUUAAUCCCCAGUAUGGCGUAAAAUUAAGUGGUUAAUAAGAAUCUCCCAUGAAUUUGUAUUGACUAUAUCAUUUAUCUUUCAUGAAAUUGCAUCUUUUCUGUGUUAAAAUAUAAUUGUGUUUAAGAUAGAGGUAGGAAUUAGAGAUAGAAUGGGUUUAACAUGUACGACUUGCCCUCUACUCCAAGUCUCUCUCCCUCACAAUGUAUUCUAUAUAUACCCCAUAUGAGGGUCGAAUCAAUACAAUAGAAACAACACAAUAUUCAGCCACACUUUCACAUGGUAUCAGAGCGAUUUGUCUCACGACGUCGAUCCUAGGAACCUUCCACCACACUUUCGUAGCGCGCAACCCCUGGAGAGAUUAAUCUCCUCUCCCCGGGGGCGCAACACCCGGUCAAGCAAAGAUCAGAUCGAUUUCAUAGAUUAGAUCAAUCCAUAGAUUAGAACAAUUUGAAAUUCUCUUAGAUUGAUCUUUCUUUCUUUAGCCACAAAUAAAUUCCUCUCCCUGGCCCUCAAAUCCGGUGAGAUCAAUAUGGCACAACGCUCGUGCAACAGCGGAGCACACGCGAUAGGUCGCACGGUCCAGAAGAGCAGCCACCGGUUUUUGUCCAGGUGGCCCGACGGCGCAUCUGCGCAAGCGCAUCUUCAUCGACCUCUGGCUCCGGCCGGCACGCCGGGGAUAUGUACGGGCGACCGGCAGCCUAGACAUACGAUCUGUUUUUGAUCGGCUUCGGCACACACCCAUCGCGUCGACAAGUCGGACAGCAUCGGUUCCCUUGGAGCCGGCACUUGCACUACAUCGGCAAGCACCUCCAUCGACCCAUGCAGGCAUGCAUGCACAAAAACUGCACGUAUGUGCUAUAUCACGACUCAGGCUUGGUUUGGAUUCAGCUAGCUUGAAGCCUUCAACGAUGCAACUCCGAGGGCCCGGUUGCACGUGUCUACAUCAUCCCGACGCACGGCGACUCCGUGGGCGCUCGAUCACGGAAGGGCAUGUAGCUGGGCCUCAUCAGCAUCAGCUGUCUUCAUCGACUUCGGACACACGCGCAGAUCCCAGAUAGAUUCCAGACGGUGCACAUGAUGGCCAUCGCCGAAGCCGCGGCCUCGGCAAGGGACUCCACACUGCAGCGCCAACCAGCUAGUUGUCCGCGUACGUCCACGAGCCACUGCAUCGAGCGAUCUGCAACCCGCGCCACUGCAUCAACCUUAGGUCUGCACCGAGCGAUCGACUUCACUGCACCGGGAGCUAUCUACAUCAACCUACUGCACCUGGAGAGAUCGACUCCUCCAGCGAGCGAGCUACAUAAUCAACAUGAAGCUGUACGACUACGCCAGGUUAUGAGCAACAUACUUCUUUGGCACGACAGGGCGUCGACACUUCAUCACCAUGGAGGGACGCCUUCAAGUGACGCAUCAUCGUCGACACGCCACUGCGACGCCAUCGCGGACACUUCAUCGCCAAGGUCUUCAUCAACGUGGUCUUCAUCAUCAUCAACACACCGCCGCCACCUCGUCCACAAGAUGGACACCUAGCGUCCUCUGACAAACUUUUCUGCAAGACGCGAACUCAACGACGGCAAUGACCGCGUCACAAUGACGACAUCGACCGCAUCAUCCACGACAAGACUGCAUCAACACGGCAUCACUGUAGUGACGACCCUACACGGCCACACGGUUCUGGCAAAACCGAUAUGUGCUCGAUGGGCUUCCUUCGGGCUUGGCAAAACCGAUGGACUCAUCGCCGACGACACCCUCUGACAUCCGCAAGGUGCAUCGUCCAUGUCUGCAGCUCCGUCAUAGCGCAUUUUUUUGCGCCUCCGGCUUUGUGCGGCUUCAUCAUCCACGUUGACCACACCAUCGAUCACGCCUACCUCAACCACGUCUACCUUGACCACGGCUACAUCAUCAUGAUCGGUUACCUCGACAUUGACAUUAAUGGCUACGUCUACAACAACAUAUCGGCAACAACUCCAGUCAACAGUGUCCGCGUCCUCACCAACGUUCACGCCACUCCCGCUGUGACUGCGGGAGGGAAGAGAGGAGAGACAAGGAAGGCACCAGAAGGGACGCAGUCACCGCCCUAGGUGUCAACCCAUCAGACGCAGUUGAUGAUGGUGCAGUGGAGAAGACGACGAAAGCGCAAGACUACAAAUUCAGUCGCAAUCGUCCGCUUCACUCCCGCUACGACUGAGGGGGAAUAUUAGAAUAUAAUUAUGUUUAAGAUAGAGGUAGGAAUUAGAGAUAGAAUAGGUUUAACAUGUACGACUUGCCCUCUACUUCAAGUCUCUCUCCCUCACAAUGUAUUCUAUAUAUACCCCAUAUGAAGGUCGGAUCAAUACAAUAGAAACAACACAAUAUUCAGUCAUCCUAUAAUUUCCACAUACUGUUCAUGAAAGAUUAACCAUUCCUGGGUCGUCCACGGUUUCAGGGACAUGUAUAUGUGUAUAAUGUCUUAUUGCGCAGUGUACCAUUUUAGCAUGCACUUUGUCGGGCCGAAUGUUUUGACUCAUUAUCUUGAAGGCAAAUAUUUGAUAUGUUUUCAUCAUGAGAAUAAGCUGGAGGGAAUAUUAUGAGUGGGCUUAAAUAAAGCAUAUCUAGCCAGUGGCUAAUGAUAUUAUUGUUGUAUACACAUUGUACAUUGGUUAUAGUGCAUAUCUUGAUAAAUUAACGAAUACAUAUCACAUACUUUUCGUUAUUCUGUUUUUUAUCAAUUGCAUUAGCUAAACCCACUAAAAAUUUGUGUGAGAAGCCUAGGAAUAUGGAAUUUGCUCCUGAUGACGUAUGGAUCACAUUUUUGCCAACAUAUGAUCAACAAAGCCAAUUUUGUUAUGCAGCAAAGUGCCCAUCAUAACUGAAGUGUGUAGUCCAGCGAUCAAUCAUGCUAUGACCACCCAAAAAAUUGACCCGGCGAAUGAAGAACAGCGCGGCAAAGCGCGCGACAGCUUCUAGUAAAUAUUCAUCUCUCUGGGACAUCCCGAGCUCCGGUGAUCCAAAAAAAAAUUCAGAUCUUUCAUUUGUUUUUACUUUUUUUUUUUGGAUUUUACUAUCCAUCCGGUAUCACUAGAGCUCGGAAUCACAUGAGUACUUUUGCAUGUCUCUGUUACUAGCAGGGAGGGGAACAAGUGUGAGGAGUGAGGACACUCAUAGUGGAUAUCAGAUGCAUCACACGGUGAACGGGCCUCAGGCCUCAGCUAAUUGUUUACAAGCAGCGAAACUUACAGGGGCAUCAGGCAUGCGGGCGAUCCGAGCUUACAUUUCAUCGGCUUAUUAAGCUAUCGAUAGAAGUCGUUUCACACAAAAAGAAAACUAUCGAUAGAUAAUAAACAACUGCUUGUGACUGAGGUGAUGGUCGUCAGGGCUUUGCGGUGCCGUCGCUCUUGGCAGCCGGAGUCUUCUCAGCAGCAGAGGUGAAAGACACGGGGCGGUGCGGUUGGUCAUCCACUACCAAGCUCAGCACCUCAGGCCGAGCGUAGUGGCCCACCACAUCAAAACCAAACUUGGCCCGAACGAUCUUUCCCAUGUCUGCACAAAAGGGCAUUUCAUCAGAAUCUUCUAAGACGAACUGUGAACCGGGUACAAAAACGUAUGCACAGAGAGCAUGUAGUAUCUGGUUAGUGCCUUACCAAGGUCGGCUGUGAUGAGCGCCUCUCCGUCGUAGUUGGGACCUGCCAGGACUUCUCCUGACGGCGAAAUGAUCACGCUGCCUCCAGGGCAGACAACGGUUUCGGGAGAAGGCUCUUCUCCUAAACCGGCAAAUGCGUACUCGGACGGCGGAGGGUAGUCCUUUCUGCGGCAGAACUGGUUUGCCGACAACACAAAGCAUCCCCCCUCCAGGGCGAUAUGUGUCAUGGAAGCUUGCCACACUGGCCUUGAAUCAGCCGUGGGAGCGCAGUAUAUCUCAAUACCUGCACACAGCACAAGAUGUUAGGAAAAAUUCGAAGUAGUACCUCCAUACAUAAGAUGCCAGUGCAUAUCUUCAACAUUAACCUAUCUAUCUGACUUGCACACAAGGAUAUAUUUCAAGGUUAUCAACUUAUCAUCUCAUGAGGCCAUGGCACUUGCAAGGUUGUUGUUGUACUUCCAAGUUCAUAGGGGUGAGUGUAUACGCGUGUAUAUGAGCGCUUGUAUUUGUAUUGAUGCUAAAAAAAUGUUGGCUGUAGACUUUCAUUUAAAUUAGCAUAAAAGAAAAUACAUGUUCCAACAAGAGCCUUACCUCUACCAUACAGUGCUGUCCUUAAAAGUGGCAUCUUAUUUUCCCAGCAAAUAAGGGCUCCAAUCUUUCCAAGUGGAGUGUCAUAAACAGGAAUUGUUGAUCCAUCUCCAAAUCCCCAUAUUAUCCUUUCUAAUGCCGUCGGCAUCAGCUUGCGGUGCUUACCCAGGUACCGACCUAGAGGAUCAAAGAAUAGCACUGAACAAUACAGUGUGUAACCUUCUCGCUCAAUCACCCCCAUUACCAGAAAGACCUUAUAUUUCCCAGCCAUAGCAGCUAAGCGUGUCACCUCUGGACCUGCAGGCUGUUCUGUCAGUAAGAAGAUCCAUAGUGUGGUGUAGUUGACACAAACCAUAUGUUGACACUUGAGACUAAUGAAAUAGCUGAAAAACUUGUUAGCUGUGCUAAAAGAAAAAGUGGAGAAUAAAUGGACCAUUAAAACAAUUAAUAUGUAAGAUGUGGAGUUGUGUGACAAUCACGGCAGAGAUUGAAGAACAUGACCAUAAAAUGUUGCUGGAGCAGUAGUACGGGGUAUGAGGUAUCAAAUUAUCAAUGAUUUAUAGUAGACGGUUGUCCAUAUCUUUUGGAAAAUUAUACUCAUAAACUGCAUCAGGAAGACAACGAAUGGCCAAAUAUUAACACUAUUUAUUCUCAACAAACUAACUCGAUGUCUAGCCUUGAGGAUUUCAUCCAACAAUUUCUUCCUUCUCAGAACUCCUUGACAGUCUAAUAGUGUUAGAAUAAAUCCGAGGUAUACCGUCGAUCAUUCGAGGACCAAGCAAUCACACGCACACGACACCGAGAUUUAUUAACGAGGUUCAUCGAUAUGGCUACAUCCCUGUGGCCUGACUACGGGCGCUCCUCCUCGUGACAUCGUCACAAUAUCGCACACCGGCCACCCGGGCGCCGGCACACGCCGCCGGCUCCCCCUUGCGCGCCUGUGCUAUUAUGUUGGCAUAGGUUACAUUGUGUGUCUACCUCCGCUAUAUAUGAGAGGCCUAGGAUACAGGUGUCCUAUUAGGACACGACUCCACAUCCUAUGUAAACACAAUACAACUCAUAGUUCAACUGUAACCUACCUUGUACACUAUAUUCGACACAACUCUAACAAAUUCCACCUUGGCGAAUAUUCUCCACCACCUUGAAUUUGUCAACGCGUCAAACUUCCAUGUACAUUGGACUUGAGCUUAUCCCGUGAGUUCCGCUGCUAGUCCAAAGACUCCAUAUGACUCCACCUGCAACUUGUAGUCCCUUCUUUUCUUGACCACAAUCAACACUCGAGCAAAAUUAAGUUCCACAUUACUCUAGUUUGCGCUCCCAACUUUUAGAGUACCAGUCCAACGUCAUCACACACUGAUCACUGACCUGUGUGAAAGUGAACAACUCACAUAUUGGGUGUCACACAUAAGAGUUACCUGAACUCAACAUCACCGCUUCUUUCUUGACCGCCUGUCUGAAACUUGAAGGAAUUUCACCAUUGCUUGUAGUCAUCCCAAGUCAAAUUCGCAGUUGUCUGACCACAUGUAUGACCACCAGAGCCCUGGUCCGUCUCCAUGUCCCCGUGCGUACCGCACGCCUCGCCGCUAUUACCGCGUCAAGCCUCCGCUGUCCCGGUCGAGUCUCAAGGGUCGCGAACCCACACCACUCAACCUCCACUGCAGAGUACCACCGAUCAUCCCCGACCGUUGACGAGUUUCACGCUUCCAUCAGACCACUGGGCUCCAGUCCGAACUACGUGUCCCUCGCUUUUCCAUCCCUUGCUGAAUAGGCUUUGAUUCUCUGGAUCCUUACACCGUAGCCCCUCAAUCCAGCUCCACCUUCAACAUGACUUCAUGGUAGAUGAUCAAUCCACCCCCGCGCCCUGUGGACUUCAAGCUCUCAUGUGCGCAUCGUCUUGAAUCAACCCCGUGUCAUAGCCUUGUCGAAGUCACACAUGCCCUCAGACCUGCGCCACGUGUUUUCACGCCCAGAAGUCGGUCACCAUCAGCAUACGCUCCUAUGUCGUUGUCGCCGAUCCCACCACCGUCUUCUGUACCAACCGACUUGCAUCGAUCCGUCAGACUGUCUAGUCUGACCCAGCCGAUCUCGUUCGACUGUACGACACGCCCGAGGCUCCUAAAUCGUCUUACGCGAAUUUCCAUCCAUCACAUGAUAAUUCCAUCUCAGCUGACAUGACUUCCCGCAACGCCUUCAAGCAUCUCUGUUAUGCCAACAAAUCUUUCACCCUUAUCUGUCAUAACCCAAGGUUUUUAAUUUGGACAAACUUCUCCACCUUAAACCUAGUAACCGUUGGUACCGUGGUUCUUUGUAUGACUAACCCUGUGAAAGAAAAUAACUAUUCUUCUCACGUAAUGGCCAAGUACACCUAGAUGUACAGGUAGCAAAUUCCAAUCAAGAAUUACUCUUGGCUUUCACACGUGGUAGUAGUUCCCUUGGCACCAAUUCCGAUGCUGGCUAAUUGCUUUUGCCUUGCCAACGCGCUUGACGGAUCUUUUCCCUUGCGCCGACUGAUUUACCUGCCUGUCCGUGUCUAUGGAGACUCGGUCUCCUUUUGUUUCCAAAACAAAUCUCUGUCCACUGCUUUCCAUUGAAUUGCUUUGAUCGAUCGUACUGCACCACGCGCUUGUAGCGCACGUUGUCAGGCCACUGUUCGCCAAGGGCCGCUCCGCACAAGGCUAUGAUGGCCCACCACAGCGGUGCUUGGGUUUCUUCCAAACACGACGCCGUCGUCAAAUCUUCAAGAACAACCUUGAUCCACCGACGCUGACAACAUCAGCUGCCAUGUCUCCAAUCAUACUCAUUGCAUCUCGCUAGAUCCCAUCAACAGCUUUCACGUGUUCUUCUCUAGAUCAACAAUACACAGCCUCCAAACAACCUAGCUCAUGAUACCACUUGUUAGAAUAAAUCCGAGUCAUACCGUCGAUCAUCCGAGGACCAAACAAUCACACGAACACAACAUUGAGAUUUUUUAACGAGGUUCACCGAUAUGGCUACAUCCCUGGGGUCUGACUACGGGCGCUCCUCUCCGUGACACCGUCACAAUACCGCACACCGGCCACCCGGGCGCCCGGCACACGCCGCCGGCUCCCUCUUGCGCGUCUGUGCUAUUAUGUUGGCAUAUAUUACAUUGUGUGUCUAUCCCCGUUAUAUAUGAGAGGUCUAGGAUACAAGUGUCCUAUUAGGACACGACUCCAUAUCCUAUGUAAACACAAUACAACUCAUAGUCCAACUGUAACCUACCUACCUUGUACACUAUAUUCGACACAACUCUAACAAAUAGGAACCGCAUUUCUGUAGUGUUUUUUUCUUUCGCGAAUACAUUUCUGUAGUGUUCACCAAAGUAUGCGAAAAAGAUCUUUGAUUUUCCAUUUCAGAACCAAAGAGUGCCAUGAACAAUAUGCAUUUGCAAAAAUCAGUUCUUCCUCUGGCCAAUACUAAGAAGACAUGACUCGGUUGUAAAGCAAUUAUUGAUAUGCAGAUAUGCUUCAUGCUAAAGAUGAAAAAAGCAGAUGCUAGCUGUCCUCCAAAUUACACAUAUGUCAGACACAAAAAGGGAGACUAACAACAGGAGCAAAUGCAAGGAAGAAUAUAUUAGCAAGAUAACACAUACGUGCUUUAGAAGUUAACAGUAGUCGGCAAUAAGAAAAUAAUAGUUGAAAAAAGAAAGCGGACAUACUGCAUUACAUUCUCACGUACCAGGCACAUCUAUGGCAGUUGCAUGAUACUUCUGGAAUUCACCCUUUCCCUUGUCUUGUGGAUUAGUCAUACUAAUACUGAUCCCAAAGCCAAAGGUGGAUCCACGAGGAUAACCACCAACAAAAGCUUCUGGGAACACGACCAACUGUGAACCAUAUCCAGCAGCCUCUGCUAUCAGUCUCUCUGCUUUAUCUGCAGUGGAAAUAACGAUAUUAGCAAUAGAUACACAUACACAUAAUGUUAGGAUAAUCAUGACUUUGUUGCAUGGAUAAGCUAGCUACGUGCGUGCAUGAGUUGGUUAGUCUAUGCAUGGUUGAGUUAGCUAGUUAAGUUGUUAGCUACGUGCAUGCAUAAGAUGGAUAUGGGUGCAUGUGGUUGAGAUAUUCUAGGAGGUGGGCGUCCGUGUGUGUGCAUGGAUAGAGUUUGUUAGACUCCAGACUCCAGGGUAGGGCUGCAAACGAGUCGAGUUCGAGCGAGUUGGACUUGACUCGGCUCAACUCAUAUCAAAAUUUGAGCGAGCUCAAACUGAGUGAAGCUCAAGAUCAAGUUGUAGAACAUGGCUCGUGCUCAGCUUGUAACGAUCUCAAGUCGAUUUCAAGCUAGUUUUGAGUUAAAUGUGAUGGUAAAAAAUAUAAAUCUAUGGAGAUUAUUCCAACUAGAUAAGGCACAACAUGACAUAAGAAAGCACUAAAAAUAGUAUUCCAAUUAAGACCAUGAUAAUAUAAAUUUCUUCAAAGUAGUUUGACUUAUUCUCUCAUAACGAAAAGUCUAGUAUCAACAUAAGAUAAUGAUUCAUGACAAACAUAUACGAGUAAUUUGGAAAACAAAUUAUUGGCCAAAGAUCAUAAAAAGUUGCAACAUAAUGCAGGUCGGAGAUGAUCUUGGAGUUGUCAUAGAACUUGAACUAAGUCACUCCAUCACCAUACCAAAGAAGCACAAUCGACCAACAUAUUAGAAUUUAUUAGUUUCAAAGAUAAUAUAAGCAAUGCAACAAUUCGAAUGAAUUUUUGUCAUAUUAUAUUUGUUUUUUACUAGUCUGUAGAAACCGAAGGCGCAUAUGCUGGGAACUUUUGCCAAAGAAAAACUGGAUAUUUAACACAUAGUCGACUACGUGCCAUAAUUAGGCCAAAAUCUUCUCCGCACUUAAUUAAGCUUCCAUGUUUGCUGGUAAAUAAAUUGGAGAAAAAUCAUGGGCAUCAUAUAUGGUAAUAAAUUAUCUUAUUUCCAUUUAAUAUAUGACAUGAUCAUUUAACAUAAUGAUAUUAUCUCGAGCUAUCGAGUUACAAUCGAGCGAGCCAAUAUCAGCUCAAGAUCGGCUUGUAUCUUGGUCAAGCUACAUGAAGUAUUCAAACUCGGCUCAUUUCUUUUCGAGUCGAUCUCGAAUCGAGCCAAAAAACGAGUCGAUCUCGAGCGGCUCACGAGCCUAGAGCUUUUCUUGGAGCCCUACUUCAGGGUAGUUAGCUAUGUGUGCGUUCAGGCUGUGAGGUGGCCGGUGAGUCUGGCUAUUUAAACCAUGUAAUUCAGUCCAUUGUGGUACGGUGUGGUGCCGAGUGAGUUUGAGCUCGAAAGAAAAAAAGAACUGCCGUUCGUCGGCGUGGCGCCGUUCGUGCGGCGGGGCGUUUGUCGCCGGAAUAUCCAGUGUCCUCCUCUUUCUUCCACCUCUGUAUGUCCGAGUGUGUGUCAGAGAGAGUUUCGUUCGGCGUUCGUGCCGCCGGAAGCUACUCGGCGUUCGUCGCUAGACCGGGUUUCUCCCAACAUUUGGUAUCAAAGCCUCAAGAUUCGGGGCCAUGGCAGACGCGGAUGCGGCACGCGGUGAGUCCGCAGCGAGCUUGGCGGACGUGGAGGCCUGAGCGAGCGUGUUGCGACGACGACACGCGACGAGCCCGGCGGUGGCGGCGUUUCAGCGGCGGCUGCACGAUGAAGCUCCGGGCCGUGUGUCGGCCUGAGGAGACGCGUGGCGCUGUGGCUGUCACUGGCAUGUGUUGCCGGAGCCGGAGGAGAUGGCGUAUGUCGCCGCAACCAGAUCGGGGAAGACGGCGUAUGUCGCCGGAAAGUCGGGCGUGUGUCGUCGGCGGAGAAGGAGCAUAACGUGUGUUGCCGAGGAAGAGGCUGGAGGCUGCGUCAAGCGUGGUGGGGACCGUAGCGGCGGCGACGGCGACAACGUCGGCGGGAACUGCAACAACUUCGGCGAUGGAAGUCAAGAUUAGGAGGAGAUUGUUAGGAUAAUCAUGACUUUGUUGCAUGGAUAAGCUAGCUACGUGCGUGCGUGAGUUGGUUAGUCUAUGCAUGGCUGAGUUAGCUGGUUAAGUUGUUAGCUACGUGCAUGCAUGAGAUGGAUAUGGGUGCAUGUGGUUGAGAUAUUCUAGGAGGUGAGCGUCCGUGUGUGUGCAUGGAUAGAGUUUGUUAGACUCCAGACUUCAGGGUAGUUAGUUAUGUGUGCGUUCACGCUGUGGGGUGGCCGGUGAGUCUGGCUAUUUAAGCCAUGUAAUUCAGUCCAUUGUGGUACGGUGUGGUGCCGAGCGAGUUUUGAGCUCGGAAAAAAAAUGCCGUUCGUGCGGCGGGCAUUUGUUGCCGAAAAAUCCAGUGUCCUCCUCUUUCUUCCACCUCUGUAUGUCCGAGUAUGUGUCAGAGAGAGUUUCCUCCGGCGUUCGUGCUGCCGAAAGCUACUCGGCGUUCGUCGCUGGACCGGGUUUGUCCCAACACAUAACCCAUGCUGAUAAAUAGCCAUCUCAUCCUCCAAACAAGCCUUUUGUAGUUUAUUUUUCCUUCUGCUUUUCUUUGUGGGCUGUAAGACCUGCACUAUCUUAGGUCUUCUUCUAAUACAAAAUAAUCUUAGUACUCCACAUGUAUCCAGAAAAACAAACUGUGAAUUAUGUUCCCAUGCCAGGCAAUUGCAGAGGUGGCGGAAAUGGAUGGGACUUGAGUGUGGUUUUGUGUAGCUUGAACUACAUGGUAUCCCUUAUCUUAGCCAUUCAUUUUUGCACUGCGAUCCGUGCAGGCACAUUUGUCAUUUUUUGUUUCUCUCAAACGAAAUAACAUAUAAACUUCAAACUUGCAGGACAACAAAACAUUCUAAUUACUAUGGGGAAAAACUUCUGAUUUUUGCAUGCAUUUAAAAUGCUAGAAUUUAUUUUUUUAAUCAAAAAAUCCUCAUUUUGCAUAUUUAUGUUGGUCCAAAAACCUGAAAGUUUUUUCACACAUUGAAGUUGUAAAGUUUGUUUGAUCUGCAAAGUUUGAAGUCCAUAUGUUCUUUCAUUUGAAAGAAACAAAAAAGAGAACUUGUUGUUGCAAUUUAGUUGGAGAGUACGGAUCUCAAAGCAAUGCUGAAGGGCUGAAGAUAAGAGGUUCCAUGUAGCUCAACCUACAGAGGAACUUUACCAUGGGACUGAGUGUGGUUUUGUGUAGCUUGAGCUACAUGAUACCCCUUAUCUUAGCCAUCCAUUUUUGCAUCUGUGCAGGCACAUUUGUCAUUUUUGUUUCUCUCAAACGAAAUAACGUAUAAACUUCAAACUUUGCAGGACAAGAAAACAUUCUAAUUUCUAGAAGGUGCAGCAGCUUCAUCUUCUUAUUUUGCUUGGUACAGUGAGGUAAAUCUCUGUUAGGUUUAUGUCAACAGUGGUUUCUUUCAACUGAAUAAGUAAAUAAUACAUGAUGUAAAAGAAAGAAAAUGUAGCAUACAUGUUGUUGCCACUCUUUACCAACUAGCUUUAUAUGGCAUCAAACAGUACAAAUAUAUGUUGAAUAACAAAUCAUAGUGAAGUCUUUAAAGAAGCUCUUAGUCUUAGUGACGACCCUUGCUGCCUACAAUUAUUUCAGUGGUAUGAAUCAAACAGAAGGAAUAUAACAACUCUAGUUUUCCUACCCUGAGGACAAAGGAAGCAUGAACAUCCCUUUGCGGGAGGAAGGCUAAGACAAGGCUUAUGCAUCAAAAUCAAGGGAUACAAGAGACACCAUCAUUAACAGCCGUCUCCACCAUUGCAUUACUGAGUUUUGCACCGAGAAGGCAACCUUUUCUACCACUAUACACGAUGCAAAAAAGAAGUUUUGCCAGUCAUGGCAAAGCGACGGUAUAUAACAACAAACUGGUGUCUCUCACAACACCAAAGUCACAACACCCGCGGAUUCAGAAAUUAACUGCACCGAAAAAAGUUUAGACGAUCAUCUCAUCUCCAUGACCCCAUGGUUUCAUCUCAGCUAAUGACAACUUAAACUAAUCCAACACGCUGGUAACUCUUCCGAAGGUAAUCGAGCAGCAGCAGGGAGGGCUAGAGAAAGAAUUUAAGUGAUUCAUUUACUAAGGCAGGGGAAACGGUGAGCGAGUAGUUACCGAGAGUGGCGGGGGUGUCGUAGAAGACUGUGGAUGCCUGCACGACGGUGGCUCGUACGGUGGUGGCGCUCUGGUCGGCGCCGCCGUUCAUCUCUACCUCGGCGAUCACCGGCGUGCUGCCUGAGCCCGAGGGAGCCAGGGCCAUCGGUAUGGGCUCGGGAAACUCGCUCGAUCGUAGCCGCGGAUGAACUGGAGCUUGAUGUGGAGGUUGGAAGCAGAGGUGGGCAUUCAAGGGGAAGCGGGCAUGGUGGGGAGUGGGGACCGGGGAGCGCCGGAAUGGACAAGGGAGAGCGCCGGGUAGCCGCCGCCGCCGGGUCAGUGACCUACUGGACAAAGAGAGCGCUAAUCCACGUCUCCACGCUGGUGUGUGGUCGAUGGUAGGUACGAUACGACGACAAA
This 84763-nucleotide long non-coding RNA is filed under the name Triticum aestivum (bread wheat). RNAcentral describes it as "long non-coding RNA (TAES_LNC012161)". Lineage: Eukaryota; Viridiplantae; Streptophyta; Magnoliopsida; Poales; Poaceae. The record is from RNAcentral.